CGUUCGUUACGCGAAAUCGUAAGAGAAGCAUUUUUGAGAAAAGGUCUGCGGUGCGACUAGCGAGCAUAUCAUAUUGUUAAGCCAAAUACGGCCAAAAUUAUAGCGACAACCAGCACCGACAAAAUUUGCACCAGUAACGUUUGACACUGUAAUUUUAUAAAAUAAAAUAAUAAAAAAUAAAAAAAUGUAUUUAAAUUUUUGCGCCUUAUGUAAAACAAAAUCAGUAAUUUUUAAUCACCAUAUUAUCAAAUAAAAUCUAAGUCUGAUUAAAUUUGAUUCACAAAUUACGAUGGAAAAAAAAAGGGAAAAAAAAAAAGAAGAAAGAUCCAACGAAUCUGGUGUCACCGCUGACGGCGCCACUGGAAAAGAAACAUAUGAUACCAGACAGCAGACGAAAAAAAUAAUGCGCUCCUCAGGGUACUGCCUGCUGCGGCCGGCAAUUUGCGGAGCUGCUUCUUGCAGUGCUGCCGUCCCACUCCUCCCCCUCCGAAGCCCUUGUCAGAGACGAAGCAGCAGAAGAAGAAACAGCAGAUCGCUCUCCGUCUCGUCCUCCUCCUCCUCCUCCUCCUCCUCCUCUUCGUCAAUGGCAGCCCGCGACAUCGGGGGAUUCCUCUCGAAGCAGCCCUACCAUCCCCCUUCCUGGGCUUCGCACCUCCGCCCCAUCCCUUCCCACUCCCUCUCCCUCGGACACGUACCCGCCCCCUUCUUUGUUCCCCUUUUCUCGAAUUUAAUUUUGAAUUUUGCAGGUCAAUUUAAGGAUCAAUACAAGUAAUUAGGGUAAAUGGAAGCGAAUCAAUAAUUCAUAAUUUAAUAGGGUGUAAAGUUUUUUUUUUUUUUUUUUUUUUUUGAAAAUCAAACCAUUUCUCAAAUUAAUAUGGAGAGUUUAAUUUGAAAAAUUCUAGGGGCCUUCGAAAUGUUAUUUUGUGGUUUAUAUAAUUAAUAUAUUGUACAUCUAUUCUUUCUACAUUAAAGAAGGAUUUGGGAGGACCAUAGGUGACCCAUGUCCCCCUCCCAAACCCUCCUUUAUUCUCUUUCCCCUCCUUUAUUCUCUCUCUACUCUUCUCUCUCUCUCUCUCUCUCUCUCUCUCUCUCUANUAAUUUGUAUCCAAUACGAAACUAAAUGUUAGGUCUACUGUUAGACUGUUGGAUUUGAGGAAGUGGCAGUAGAAUAGUCCGGUUUCUAGCUAAAAUUAUCGCGAAAGAUCAUCAUCUAUGUUAUCAAAGAGUCAUUUUUAGAUGCCUAGCGCGACAAAAGUUUUGUUCGUUGUACUUGUGAUCAGAAUCUCUUAUUAGUGUUGUUAGCAUUAAGAUUAUACCCUUGUUACGUCGAAUGCCCGAGCUCCUGUAUUAGCAUGAUAUACUACUUCUGCAUGUUUCGUUUAGCUAUCUUCUUACACUCUCUUUGGUCGCUCGUCAGCUUCCGACUCCAAUUCACAAGUGGAACCUUCCUAACCUUCCAGAAGGCACUGAAGUCUGGAUUAAGGUUUAACUCGGAAUUAUUAUAAGCUGCUUGAGGAUGUUCACUUGAUUUCGUGCUUUCUGAACCUGGCAUUCUUUUCGAAAUUCUAGCGUGACGACCUCUCAGGAAUGCAAUUGAGCGGCAAUAAGGUCAGGAAACUCGAAUUCUUGAUGGCUGACGCUGUGGCACAAGGAGCGGACUGCGUCAUCACGGUGGGAGGUAUCCAGAGCAACCACUGUCGUGCAACUGCUGUGGCGGCGAGAUAUCUUAAUCUUGACUGCUAUCUGAUACUACGCACCUCCAAGGUUACAAAAAUUAGAAAUGGCUGAAAGUGCAGAUGCUUAAAGUUGAUAUCUUGAUCAGACAUUUUGAUUGACUAAUUGGUACUCUUACAGGUUCUUGUGGAUAAAGAUCCUGGUUUGGUCGGUAAUCUCCUAGUUGAACGCCUAGUAGGAGCACACAUCGAACUUGUUUCAAAAGAAGAAUAUGCCAAAAUAGGCAGCGUGGUUUGUUCACCUCUGUCAUUCCUUAUCGUACUGGCAUUAAUCAAGUCUCUGGGUUUCAGCUAAUUAUACGUUAAGUUUAGACCGAUGUUUCUAAGUCACAUACGUUAAGUUUUCUUUUUCUUGCUGCUUUAAUUUGAUUUCUUACUUAUCAUCAAAUGAUUCGUUACUCUAUUCUUUGGGCCUAGGCUCUUGCCGACAUGCUGAAAAGGAGACUUGUAAAUGAAGGAAGAAAGCCGUAUGUGAUUCCUGUCGGUGGAUCAAAUUCUCUUGGAACUUGGUAUGUCAAUAAGCAAACAAAAUGAAUAACAAUGCCUCUUCCGAUGUCAUAUUUCAUCAUUAUUUUUUUACUUGUUUCCAUUUCCUAAAAAAUAUGCCGAGAAACUGAAACUUGUGGAGAUACCGAAACAUGCCCUGAACUCAUCUAUUGGCAUUUCUUUUCAAUUUUCUUAGCCCUUUGGCUUCUUCUGAAGUACUCGUUACAAUGGUUGCUAUUUCAGGGGAUACAUUGAGGCAAUGCGGGAGAUUGAGCAACAAACCCGUUUAUCUGGUUUUCAGUUUGAUGACAUUGUAGUUGCAUGCGGCAGGUUAUUUUCUUGCCAAGCAAAUUUUUACAUCUUUUAGAAUGCUUAUUAGUUACUAUCCAUAAUUAUAUGAUCCAUGGCCUAAGAGCUUGUUUUUAUUUCGGAACCAUUCUAAUACUGUUAUAUGCUGGAAAGGAGUUUGCAUUAAAGCUGGCUUCCUUUUAUACACUUAGCUAUCGAGAUUUCAGUGUGUUAGCUUCCUGUCAAAUUUGGAGCUGUCACAGAAAGAGCUUCAAAACAGAUAGGAAGUUAAAUGACUUUGCAUAGCACAUACUACAUUUGCACACAUGAGCUAUUUCUCUUUAUGUUUUAAUUAUCCAUCACUCUCCGUAUCUUGUCAAAUUUUACAAAGUUUAAUGUGGAUAUUGCAACGAAUUCAAGUUUAAGGUUUUCUUUUUGACUUCUUCUUUUGAUUUGUAGUGGUGGAACUAUUGCUGGCCUUUCUCUGGGGUCAAGUUUGAGUAGUUUGAAGGCAAAAGUAUGCAACGACAUUAGAUUAGCAGAUUGUUAUUUCAUAGUUACAUAAUUACCUACUAAUCCUUGGUUUGUAGGAUAGGUUCAUGCAUUUUCUGUCUGUGAUGAUCCUGACUACUUCUACGACUAUGUUCAAGGCCUGAUUGAUGGACUUCAAGCUGGUGUCGAUUCACAUGAUAUAGUCGACAUUGAAAAUGUGAGUGGUACUUAACACAAAGUUUCUUACCUUCCAACAAUUCUAGCUAUACCUUUUUUUCUCUUCACAUGAAUGCCUUCUUCGAAAUUUACUUAACAAAGAAAGAAGAAAACUUCGUUUGUGGUUAAUUUGUGUUGUUUUCCUGGAAGAGAAGUCAUAAGUAUCUUUCUAAGCGACAAUAAUAUGACAUUUUGGCUUGUUUGUGUGGUUACUGAACUUAAAUCCUUUUCCCUUCAGUCGGUUUUGCUCAAUUAAUAGUAAUGUAACAGCCUAGAAGCCAUGUAAUGUACAUCAAGCACUAGCUCUAGCAGUUGUGUUUACUCAUGUAUUGCUUGUAAACAUAUCGUGGUUCUUUUGUAUUCUAUGUGUAUAAAAUGUGAAGUUUGUUUGAAGUAAAUGAAAGAUAUAUUUUUUUAUUAUGCCUAACCACUUUUUGAACUAAAAUUUGCCGUGCUACAAGUAAUUUUUUGGCUUCUAUGAUGAUAUUACUGGCAUUUAAGCUUUGUUCUAUCAAGUUGUGAAAUUUGCACUGUCGUUAAAAUAGGCCAAAGGCUUAGGGUAUGCCAUGAACACAGCGGAGGAGCUUGAAUUUGUUAAAAAGAUAGCAGCUGCAACAGGCAUUGUUCUUGACCCAGUCUACAGGUGCGACAGUUUUCAACUAUUUCUAAUUGAGAUUACAGGAAAUGUUUUUUAUGUUUCCCUUUUCUAAACCUGAGAUGUUAUUUUCAAAUAGCAUUUUACAUGAAGUAACUGGUCAUUUUACGAAAUCUUGGCAAUCUGUUUGCAAGAAUAUAGUCUAUAGGGAGAAGUAAAUAAUUCGCACUGCGAAGGAUCUUUUUCAGAUAACCUGCUGACCUUACACUUCCAAUUGAAAGAUCAUGCGGAAAAAAAUGAACUUUUUCCCAUGUUACAUAUUUGAGACAUGACUUAAAACUUGUUUAUCAAGUCAAGUGAUGCCUUUGAAUUUGGUUUAAGUGCCAAAUUUUUUCUUGCUGAAACGAGUAGCUCUUUAGUAUGUACUUGCCUUUCCUAACGCAGUGGAAAAGCUGCAUACGGUAUGUUGAAGGACAUGGACAACAACCCUGCAAAGUGGAAAGGGCGGCGAGUUCUCUUUGUGCAUACCGGCGGCCUCCUCGGGUUGUACGACAAGACCGAACAGAUGGCAUCUCUCGUCGGCAAUUGGCGUAGGAUGGAAGUUGAUGAGUCCGUUCCACGCAAGGACGGGACGGGGAAGAUGUUCUAAUGCUCUACUUCAUCAACUCUCCUUCAAAGUACUUGCUCAAUUUCCCAAUAGGAGCACAGUUUUUUUCGUUUUCUCUUUUCUUUUCCUUCCCUUUUUUUUUUUUUUUUUUUCUCUCAAGGGAUUGUUGUUAAUUAUUUUGGACAUAACGGGUCGAUAUUUGUAAUAAGAUUGGUAAACCAUGAUGCUAAUAUCAUUCAUGCCAAUGUUUUAAAUUUCUGCAUGCCAAUGUUUCAAAUUUCUGGAAUUCUCAAUAUACUACCAUGCAGAAAACAAACGAGAGGGACAUUUGGCCUUUGAUUUCUCAACAAUGUUACUGGUCUUAUUCCACCUGAGGAAUUGGGUUCUGCUUUGCAGUGAAAAGAUAAGGCAAAACAAAAAGCUGGGCAGCAGUGAAUUUUGUCCAAGUGCUUUUGCACCAAGCAGGUAGUUUUGGAAGAAAAAAGGGGUAAAAUGGCUUUCUGCAGCAUGGAAAACCCACCUGAGGAUUUCAAUACAAAAGCUCUACUAUCUUUUUGAACAGUUCCACUCUAAAACAGUACUUCCGCAGAAAUUUCAUAACAGCACUAUACUACAAGAGCUCCUAAGAAGAGAGAGUACAGGUGAUCAAAACAGAUGCAACAUGUAGCAGACUGACAUUUAUUCAGAAGGCACAACACACAGCAGUAAAGCUGAUGGACUGGCAGGGAAGAGUCUAGCCAUCAGCAAUCACCACUAUUCACACUAACACUCACACAAACAUACACGGAUACACCAUAGCAACACACCAGUGUAAUCCCUAAAAAGCACUCCACAACUAGCAAACUCCACUGGUUUUCUUGCGGUCCACCAGUUUCCGCCAAUACUUUGUGAUAUCCUUCUCCAUCUCCUGAACACUCUUCUUGACCAUCGUGCCGGCUGGCUUUUCCUGCACGCUGACAUUCACGAUCUUCGCUAUCUUAUUCGCGUGAUCCUCGAGCUCAUGCAACACCUUCUGGAUGUCGGCGACCAGCCGCUCUGCGAGGCUGCGGCUGAAGUCCUCCCUGAUCACCACGCGGAGGACGGCCACGCGCUCCGCAUCAGGCGGCAUGGUGUACGCAGGCACGAUCCAGCCGAACCUUCUUAAAUUCUCCGAGAUGUCGAAGACGGUGUACUUGCUGCUGUCCUUGAGAGCGAAAGCAACCAACGGCACGCCGGAUUCCUUCGAGACGAUUUCGAAUUGGCCGGUGUUCUCUAUUCCUUCCCUUAGGACUUUUGCGUUCCCCAUGCAGUUCUCCAUGAUGUCCUUAUACCCCUGUUCAAAUGAGAAUGUAAACAUGAUACUACAGAAGCAAUCACAAAAUAAAGACUUCAGUAGUUGCUUUCUGUACUGAAACAAUCAGAAUAAUCAGAGAGAAAUGUACCUCGAAGCCCAACCGAAUAAACUGAUAGUAUUGUGCAAUUAUCUGACUCGAACCUGCAAGAAUUCGCAAAGGAACAUUCUCAGAAAGCUACUCGUUGCGACGAAUCAAAUAGCCAGUUCGAUAAUUCUUGCCUUUAGAGAAGUUGAGAGUGAAUGUAGGCUGAUCUGCUCCAAGAUAGUUAAUAUGGAAAAUGAGCUCUUCGGGCAGAUCGUCCUUCCUCCUCCAGAUGACCCAACCGACACCUGCGUAGACGAGCCCGUAUUUGUGGCCGCUGACAUUAAUGCUCUUGACUAGGGGAAGUCGGAAAUCCCAUUCCAGCUCCGGAUUCAGGAAAGGUGCUAUGAAUCCUCCACUCGCAGCAUCGACGUGGAUAGGCGUGUCCCACCUGAACCACACGAGAAAACACAAGUCAUUGCUGAAAUCUAACAGCUAACACAACGAAUUGUAACAAAAUGUUACAUAGAAGGGAAUCUCAUCUUCUUUUUUUUCGUAUGUGCUUACCCUGUUUCCUUAUUUUUCGCUGUGAGCAGAUCGUUUAACCGCUUUACAUCCUCAAACUCCCCAUUGAGAGUUGAACCCAAGAUGGCCGCAACACAGAUAGUGUUCUCGUCGACCAAUUCCACAGCCUUCUCAGGGUCCAUUACAUAAUAUCCCUCCCUUAACUUAACCUCCUUUAGUUCGACUUCGAAGUACCUCGCAAAUUUCUCCCAGCAAACCUUGUAAAUAGAGAAAACAAGUUAAAGAAGAAAAAAGUUCAAAUCUGAGCUUAAAAGGUAGAAACUACCUGAACAUUGGCGCCGGUGACAAUGUUAGGUUUGUCGUGAGGCUUUCCCUCGGCCUUUCUUUUGUUCUGCCACUUUCUCUUGAAUGCUAAUCCUGCCAGCAUUAUAGCUUCUGAGGAUCCGACAGUUCCAACGCCUACUGCGGUUUCUUCCUCUCCAAUUGGAGCAUGGAAAAGGUGCGCGAUCAUAUUUACGCAGCGGUUCUGCAGGAAACAGAAAGAACAACAAAUUUGAGCAAUGCUAAUCAUGAACUUGACGCAUCACCUAGUACGAUAGAUAUACGGGUGAUUCUCGAAACAAUCUUUUGCACUCUCCCAUGAAUCCUUAAUCAUCAUGUACAACAAUAGACCACAACAAUCAGUAAACAAUGUUUCAUCUCCGACGACAUACCAGAGAAAAUAGAGAAACAGAUGAGUCUAAUGUUGGGCAUAUAAAUCAACACUUUUUUCUGCAAUUCUCUCCAGCUAAAAAGUAUUUGCACAAUUGAUGUCUUAAAGAGUCGAAAACCUUAUUAAAAAUCAGUAGCAAGCCAUAUAAGGCCUGUUGUAAAAUCUCUGAUUGCUGCCUACAGGCACUCUCUUUCUCUCCAAAAUUAACAAAGACUACUGCCGCCCUUAACAAGUAACGAGAAAUCAGUAAAUGUAGGCCUUCAAAGUUCAGAAAACACAGCUAAGAGAACUCAGUAAACAAUCAUUAUACAAGUUUAGCGCACGCGACAAUCUGAUGCUGAAGAAAUCGAACCAAGAUAACAGAUCAUGUAUUAUGAGCACAAAUUCAACUCCAACAACCUAGAUAAAGAAUGUGAGACUACAUUAUGAAACCACAAAUCUACGAAUUGCGUGUUUUUAACAUUAUUGUAAUAUAACUGAAGUAGGAAAACAUAGCAUAUUGAAACAAUUUUUCACUGUCAGAGAUAAUAACUCCUGAUUCAAUUCUGGUCCAGUUCAUCAAAAAACUAGAUAAUUCAAGUUCCAAAUACACUCUAUAACUAAGAUCAAUUCAAUUCCACCAAGAUUUGAUUCAGUUCCAAACAUUGUGCACAUGGUGGGUCCACACAGAACACAUCAGAAAAGAUCCAACUAAGAUAAGAGAGGCAAUGAAUUCAAAAGAUGUCCAACCGCUUUUGAUUGCAACAGAUAUGACAAGACGCGACACUAACCGACAUAAACACUAAUUAGAGUGGGGGACCAAAAUUUAUUCACAUUCACUGUCAAAAAACACCUGUCGACGAAUUUCCACAUCCUAAAACAAGAGCACUAGUGGAUAUUUGGCAAGCAAUUAUUGUAAGGACUUGGUCCAGCAGGUCAGUUGCUGAUAAACUGCAAUGCAUAGCAUCUCUGCUUUCGAUUUCCAUCACAAUUAAAAGGAAAAAAAAUAAUACUAAAUCUUGUGUUAAGAUUGAUAGUAACAACUGGAUGGAUGGCAGAUCAACAGGGUGGUUCACUUCUAAUGCAGCAGACCAGCUCUGGGGAGUAAUUUAUCCUUGUUGGUUUCUAUUCCCAGAACAUAGAACAGAAUUUAUAGAGCUUUUCGCCAACCAAAUACAGUAGAUGUAGGGGCCGGUUGGCCUAGAAUCUCGAAAAGUAAUUUCUGCAGAAUUAAUUUUGGUUUGGAAAAUUAAUUUUCAUUAAAAAAUGUAGAGUGUUUGACUCAGUAAGUGAUUUUAUAAAACUGUUUCACAAAAUCUUUUUGCUGCUUGCAAAUAAUAAUAAUUUUUGCUGAAUUUUAUUUUAAAAUUUGAAGUCAAAAAUUUAAAUUCGACUUUAAAAAUUUUAAAAAAAAAUUGUAUUUAAAAUCUGAACAAGAAUUUAAAAUUUAAUAUUUAAAUUUAAAAUAUAAAUUUAAGAUUUAAAAUUUAAAAUUUUAAAUCUUAAGAAGCAUUUGCUAGCUACAGUUGAAAGCUAUUAUGGAGACUUCAUGGAAAAAGCUCUAAUGCCUAUGCAAAAGCUGUCGGUGCUUUUUCGAUAAGUUGCACUUAAAAAGAACCCUUUUUUAAGAAUCUCCAGCACAUAAUAAAAAAAUAAUAAUAACAAAAUAACAUUAUUUACCGCUCAUUUCAAAUCUUGUUUUAGUGCGUCUUUCAACUGAGCCGAACUCGGUAUCUAUUGCUAUAAUAUAGCUGAGAAGUAACAAGUGAAGUUACCUGGAGCUCGGUGGUGACGGGGUACUCGUCCAUGUCGACAUAGUUCUUGUUGAUGGAGGCCAUGAUGAGCUUGUCGCACUCCGGCUCCAUCCACGUCGUCACGAACGACGCCAGGUUCAGCCGCGGGUUCCCGUCCAGCAUCAGCUCGUCAUUGAUGAUCUGGUACGCAGCGUCCUUCGGUAUCGCCUCCGCGGGCAUCUUAAACCUUCAUUCAUUUAUUCAUUCAUUCAUUCAUUCAUUCAUUCAUUCAUUCUCAUAAUAUGUUAUCGAAAUAUCUACUGAAAUUUAAGGAAUCAAUCAAUCAGUGGUCACCGCGGGAGUGCGGCGCGGACAUAGCGCGAAGCGAAGGUGUAGUGCACAGCCGUGUCGGCGUCGCGGAUCGCUUGGGAGAGAGCCAUGGAGAGAGAGUUUAUUGCUAUGUUUGGAGAAGGGGAAUUGGGGGGUUAUUUAUACAUUGUAUGAUUGGUUGCUAAGUUUGUGGUGUACAUAUAAUUGUUGCUGUUACGCUCCAUAUUGCUUUCAAAAGAAACAAAGGUGGGGUGGGGCAUAGAGAUUCCUUGUUCUUGAGGGGAAAAGUAAAUGGUAUCACUUUCAUCUGAUUGCUACUCCAGUACUAGAUCUCUGUGAGAAAAUAUCUUGUUCUAGGCAUAUUUUUGAUAUUACUAGAUCUCUGUGAGAAAAUAUCUUGUUCUAGGCAUAUUUUUGAUAUUACUGUGAUGCGGAAAAAUAUUUAUUUUUAUUUUUUCAAAAAAAUUUAAAAAAAUUUAAAGAAAGAAAUUGUAAGUGGGCAACCAAUUGAAUAAAUUAGAGUUCGGAUAAAAUAAAUUUUUGAAUGAAUUAGAGUUCGGAUAAAAAUUAUUUCUUUUGUUGUUUGUUUUUAUAAUUAUGGAACCGAAAAAGUGAAUAAUGCAUCUCAAUAGCUGUUUAUUACACAAAAAAUCGUGUUAGGAACCCCAACAAUCCAGAAGUAGAUUUAAAAAUAGUUUCAUAAUAAAUUUUAGUUUUUUUAAAAAGUUUCUAUAGAGUUUUAUAAGUCUAAUUAUUAGUUAAAUAAAAAUUAUAUAAAAAUAAUUUAAUAGUUAAUUCUAUUUAAAUAAAAAUUAUUAAAAUUGGUAUAUAUGCAACGUAAAUUUAUACAACAACUUAUUUUAUAAAGAUUUAUGUGAAAAAGAUUUGAGAUAAAUCUAUCUAAAUAAUUUUUUUAAAAAAUCAAUAAAUAGAAGGGAAAUUGUUUAAUAAAAUCAAUUAUAUAUAUACACACACAUACUAUAUUUCUAAAAUCUUACUCUUGAAAUUUAAAUUCUGUAUUUUUUUAUACAUCGAUAUUUUACGUGAUUUAAAUUCAUCUAUCAGAUGAUUAGAUUUUAUUACACAAUUUAUUACGUGUAUUAUUAAUAAAAUUAAUUAAUUAUAUUAUGUACAAUUAAUUAUUAAUAAAAUUAAUUAAUUNUAUUUUUUUAUACAUCGAUAUUUUACGUGAUUUAUUAAUAAAAUUAAUUAAUUAUAUUAUGUACAAUUAAUUAUUAAUAUAAUUAAUUAAUUAAUUAUAUAGAGUUUAGAGAUUUUAAAUUUUAAAUUUUCAAGUUUAAAAUUUGGAAAUAAAUAUUAUAAACUAAAAUUUAAAAUUUGAAAUAUAAAAUUUAGAAUUUGAAACUUUGAAAUUUGAAAGUAUCAAAACUUCAAAUUUUGAUAUUCAAAAUUUAAAAUUUUAUAUUAUAAAAUUCUAAAACCCUAUAUAGAGAGAGAGCGAGAAGGGGAGGGUUGGGCACGUGUCACUCCAAGGUCCCAAAACCAUCCUUUACAUCGUACUAGUGAAUUACCGGCGCGAUGCUGCGGAUAUAAAAAUUUUUUAUAAUAAAUUUUAUUUUUUUUAAUAUUUUUAUAUAGUUUUAUAAGUCUAAUUAUUAAUUAAACAAAAAUUAUAUAAAAAUAAUUUAGUAGUUAAAUCUAUUUAAAUAAAAGUCNAGCCGAUCGACGAUUCGAAAAUCGUAACAUCGAAAACGAGCUGGAAGCACGGAAGGCUCCGUGCUUCCGAUAGCAUAGUAGCCUCACUCUAAUAAUAAUAUAAUAAUAUAAUAAUAGAGAAAGAAUAGCCCCUGCACUUACACCUGUAGGUGGAAGGUGGAAGGGCCAAAUCAGUCUCAUAGUCAAAAAUCAAAAUCGGCAAGGGUAAACUUCAAAUACCUCCCGUGGUUUCGUAUUUUCUCACUUUGGUAUCCUACAGUUUAGUAUCCUAUAGUUUAAAAUGUAUCAAGUUAGUACCUUGUAAUUCAAAGUGUAUCGAAUUAGUACCCUGUGGUUUCUCAUUUUCUCACUUUAGUACCCUGUGGUUUAAAGUGUAUCAAAUUAGUAUCCUCUGGUUUCGCACUUUCUCAAUUUCGUACCCUGUGAUUUAAUAUUUCGUUAAAUUAUAUACAAAAAAACCUUCAGAUAUCCUAUCUAGAUUUAUCGAAUAUUUAUUUUAGCACCAUUUAGUUUUAACUUUGUCACUGAUUUAACGAAAAAAAAUAUUCCGAAAUAGAUAACAAAAAGAGAAAAAUAAAACCACAAGAUACUAACUUGAUACGAAAAUAAAAUCACAGAGUACUAACUUGAUACACUUUAAACCACAGGAUACUAAAGUGAAAAAGUACAAAACCACAUGGUACUAAUUUGAUACACUUUAAACCACAUGAUACUAAAGUGAGAAAGUGUGAAACCACGUAGGGGUAUUUGAAGUUUUUCCUAAUUUUUAUGUAUUGUGAAAAAUAAAAAAUAUAUUAUUUUUUAAAAUAGAAAAUAUAUUAUUUAUAAAUUAUUUUAUUAAGUAGGAGAUGAUAGAUUUUAUUGAACACAGUAAACGAUUCAACGCCUUCCAAUUAUUCCGUUGAAUCGGCCAAAUUAUGGUUAUUUGAUCGAAUAAAAUUUUCACAAAAUUAUUUAAUAAAUUAUAAAACUUUGAAGGUUUAUAUUAAAAAAAGUCCUCAAAAUCUAACUCAUCUUAUAAUAAUGAGAAAAAUAGUGCUAUCCAUAUAGAAAAGUUGCAUAAGUCUGCCGUGGAAGUAAUUUUUUAAAGUAAUUUUAUAAAGCUAUUUGGCAAAUUUUCUUAAGUGAUUUUGUAAAAAUUUUAAAUUUUAAUUUAAAAUUUUAAAGUAUUGAAAAUUUUAAAUUUUAUUUAAAUUUAUAAUUUAUAGUUCAAAUUUUUAAAAUUUAGAAUUCAAAUUUUUAAAUUUAAAUCUUUGAAUCAAAAUUAGAAUCAAAUUUUAGAAAGUAUGUUUUGGCUUCCAUUGGGACAUAUAUCUAGAGUCAUGAUUAAAAAAUUAAAAUCUGAUUUUGUAAAAGAGGUUAUGAAAAGCUAUAUUAAAAAAAAAAUCAAAUAGUGGACUAUAUCACCUAAUAAGUGGUUAAGUUGAUGUACAAAUGGUUCAAAUAGUUGACUUCUCACCUAAGCUGAUGUACAAAUAGUUUUUGUUUUAAUUCAUAUAAAUGAUGUUUUAUAAAAGAUUUAAUUCAUGUUUUAAUAUUAAUAACUGAAAUUUUGAAACUUGAAACUUGAUGUAUACACCAUAAAAUUACCGGUGUGUUUGGAUUGACGAAUUUUUGUAUCCAACGAAGCUUAAAGUGUAGUAGUGUUGGAGUUUUAUUAAAAUGCAGUUAUUUUUUUGUUAUUUAUUCCGAUGCAAUCCAUACAUCUAAAAAAUUAAAUUCAUGCAAUUUUUUUGUUUGUUUUGGUAUCUUGAUAUUAGUAUAAUUAAUUUUUUAAGUUUUACAUUUUUUUAUGUAAAUAAAUAGGUCUCGUUACCAUAUAAAUAUAGUGAUAAAUUUAUCUCCACAAAAUUUAACAUAUUAAAUAGUUAAAUUCUCUGUUAUUAUUUGUAAAGGUAAUUCUAUCCGAUUGUUAAGGAGGUAAUUCUAAUCCAAUGUAAAAAAAAAUAGAGUUUAAAUUUUAAUAUUUAAUAAAUUUUUAGAGAAGGUUGACAAAACAGCGCAAUAGAGAUGCUUUAUUGGAAAGUCUGAAUUUCUUGUCAUGUAUAAUAUUUAUCUCUAUCCUAAAUUAUAAUUUUUCUCUCUAAAAUCUAAAAUUUUUAGCUUUUAACAUUAAAAAUUACUUACUCAAUUAUUGAAUGAAAACAAAAUUAUAGUAUAUAACAGCGAAUUUGAGAUUCUCCAACAAAAUAUUGUUGGAAAGGUUUUGGCUAAAGUUUUAUCCCGCUAAGGGCAUGUUUGUUUGGGUGGAAGUGGGUGGAAGUGGAGAGGAGGGAAGUCGUUUUCGUUCUAAACGGUCACUUUCGUUGUUUGGUUUGCCGUAAAAAAGUUAAGGUCGAAACUCGAGUUAACCUCAAAUGGCGUAAUUGACUUUGCCCCAUUGGGGCGAAGUCAAUUACGUUGAAAAGAGGUGAAGAAAAAAUAAUAAAAUAAUAUAAUAGAUAAAGAUAGUUAUAUUUAAAUAUACUUAAUUAUGUUACUAAUUUUUUUAGGCCUUUUUCCAUAAAAAAUCCACUUAUUUUGGGCUUUUGCAAAACCGAGUCACCUUUUUCGCUUUUGCAGAUUCGGUCCGCUUUUUCAGCAAACUGACCAAAAUACCCUUAUUACUUUUUCUCUUUCCUCUUUCUCUCUCCUCUUCGUUUCUGUCGUUCUUUUUUUUUUCUCGCCGAAAAAAAAAAGGCGGACCGUCGCCUUCUUCUUCACCGUCGUCUCCCUCCUCACCAUCCUUCUUCACCGUCGCCCCCCUCCUCACCCUCCUCUCCACCGCCCGCGACCCCCUCCUCCUCUCCUCCGCCGCCGCGGACCCCCAGCCCGAUCCCGUCGCCGCGAGCGGCCGCGGCGAACGGGUUGGGCUGAUAUGCGGAGAAGAAGACUAACGCGAAGAAAAAAAGGGAGGGNNNNNNNNNNNNNNNNNNNNNNNNNGAAGGUUUGCUAAUAUCGAUUUUAUUCCCGCUACGCGCAUGUGUGUUUGGUGGAAGUGGGUGAAGCGGAGAGGAGGGAAGUCGGUUCGUUCUCAAUCCGGUGCCACUUCGUUUGUUUGGUUUGCGCCGCCGUGAGUGAAAGAAGUUGGAAUUCCCUCACAAUUCGAGCUUAACGCUCAUGGCGCAUAACCUUCAGACUUUGGCCGCCACCACAUUGGGCGGGCGAAGCUCGAAUUGACACGUUGAAUUUCUAUCACGAAGUGUGAAGGAGAAGCAAAAUAAUGAAGAGGCACACAAUUUGACAGAGAUAAAGACAUAGUGAGUAAGUUGCAACGAUAUAACUGAGUAAUUAUGUUAUUCUCAAGCCUGUGUUUCAGGGCCUUUUCCAUAAAAAAUGACUCCACUUAUUUUGGAGCUUCUGCAAAACCAGAGUCACCUUUUUCGGCUUUUUGCGGUCGACAGUGCACGCAAUUGGACUCUUACGGCCUCCGAGCCGCCGCCAGGACGGCAUCGCAGCAUCCGUUUUCAGGCAAACUGACACUAAAAUACCCUUUUACUUUUCUCUUUCCUCUUCUCUCUCCUCUUCGUUUCUGUCCUGUCUUUUUUUGUUCUCGAGCUGAAAAAAAAAGGCGGACCGUUAUCAGACCUGGGCGUUCUUCCAUUCACACCGCCCGUCGCAUCGGUCGUCGCCCCAGACGCACUCACCGAUCCUUCCACACUCAACGUCGCUCCGGACGGCGCAUGUACGCCGCUAACGAGAGCGGCAGUAGCCGAGGGUGGUGAUGUAUCAUUUUCCUUUGAUGCAUUAGAGUUCGUGCUUUAUCUGAUAUCUGAUAGUCGGCAUUCAUUCAUAUGAUGCGUCCUCACCCUCCUACUGCUGUUCGCCGAGUUGCAAUGCACCCAUUAGCUCGCCCUGGGAACCCGUCCUCCUCUGGUCCGCCGCCGCGGACCCCCAGCCCGAUCCCGUGCGCCGGCGGCGGCUAUAGCGGCCGCGGCGAACGGGUUGGGCUGAUAUGCGGAGAAGAAGACUAACGCGAAGAAAAAAAGGGAGGGCAAGGCAACACGGACAGGAGGGGGAGGCGGAAGCGCAACCGGCGCGCACCAGCGCCGCGCAUGUUCUUCUUCCAUCGGCGCUGCCCCUCCUCCGCGCCGCAGCAGAGCGCAGAAAGCCGUAGACUGAUUGACAACGCCUCGCUUCUCCCCUCCACGACGCGCCGACGUGUCUGAGAGCGCCGCUCCGCCGCGGACAGGUAAUAGCCCACCCGAUCCCGUCGCUGGCAGCGGAUGCGGCCGCGGCAGACUGGCGAUCGCGACUGUUUUUUUAAUUAAAACACUGCAACAUUCUUUAAACAGAUUAUUUAUACUAGCUUCUCUCCUCUUGUUCACGUUCUCCCUUUAAUUAAACAGUGGCAACAGAGAGAAACAGUGCCAACAGAGGAAAGGCAGUAUAAAAUAUCUCUUAAAUUGGGGCAGUUUAAGAAUAAUUGGGUGCCGUUUUUUUUUUUCUUAGUUGGCAAUGAUAUCCGAACCCCAAUUUUCUCUGUUACACCUAUUUUAUUUUAAUACUACACAUCGUAACAGUAUAGUUUAUACUGCUUCUCCUCUUGUUCAGUGUUCUCCUCUUGUUGCCUGUUUUUUUUCUUUCCUCUUUAAAGAGAACACUAGUGCAACAAGAGUAAUAAACAUGCCAACUAAUGAGUAGAACAGUAUAAAUAUCCUUAAAUGAGUGCAUCUUUUUGUGUUAAUGAUAAAGCAGUUUUUUUUUUUUCCUUGUUGAUUAGCCAAAAUCAUAUUUUCUUCGUUUGUUACGAUAGAUUUCUGUUUUUAUUUUAAACUACAUACCCCCAUCUUUAACAGAUAUUAUCUGUUCCCUCUUGUUGCACAACAAAACUGUUUCUUCCUUCUCUUCUCGUGCUUCUUCUUCUCUUUAAAGAGGAGAAGCUGUUUCUUCUUCUGCCUCUUAAAGAGGAGAAACGAGCACAGAGGAGAAACAGAGUGCAACAGAGGAGAAGCAGUAUAAAUAUCCUCUUAAUGGUGCAUUAUGUUUAAGAUUAAGGUGCGAGUUUUUGCUUAUUGCGACAUUUUUUUUCUCUUGUUACACACUGUUUUUUAUUUUAACCUAACUGGAAUAAAAACUACACAUAUUAAAAACCAGAUAUUUAUGACUGCUUCUUCUCCUCUUGGUUGCACUGUUUCUCCUCUUUAAAGAGGAAAACAGUGCAGACAAAGUAAAGGCAGUAUAAAUAUCCUCUAAAUGAGUGCGUUAAGAUAAAUCGGGUGCAGUUUUUUUUCCUGUUGGCACAAAUUUUUCUCUGUUAAUCUGUUUUUUUUAUUUUAAACUGCACCAUUUGAAGAGAUAUUUAACUUGCUUCUCCUCUUUAAAGAGGGAAACAGUGCAACAAGACGGAGAAACAGAUGCACAAGAGGAGAGGCAGUAUAAAAUAUCUCUUAAAUGGGUGCAUGUUUUUAUAGAUAUGGGCACAGGUUUUUUUCUUGUUGGCACAAGUUUUUACUUUUGUUAGCCCACACUGUUUUUUAUUUUAACUACACAUUUUCAACCGUAUAUUUUAAACUGGGGGUUCUCCUCUUGUUUGGCAACUGGUUCUCGCUCUUUUCUCUCGUCUUUAAAGAGGAGAACAGUGCAACAAGAGGAGAAUCAAGUGCAACAAGAGGAGAAACAGUGUCUAAAUAAUCUCUUAAGGUGCAGUUUUAAAGAUAAAAAAUAAAUUAAUAAGUAACAAGAGGAGUAAUGAUGCAACAAGAGGAAAAACGGUGCAACAAAGGAGAAAUAAGGCAACUUUCCAUUUGAAAGAGUGUAAUUUUAUCUUAGUGCGUUGCAGUUUAUAUCUGAAAAGAGUGCAAUAAGAAGAGAAAACAGUGUAAAUAUCUUUCAAGAGAUGUAAUUUUUAUUAAAAAGUGUAAUUUUUAUUUUAAAGCUGCAGUUACCAUCUUAAAUAGUGCAACUUGUAAUUUUUUUUGUAGUUAACGAUACAAUUUCACACUGUCAUCCUUUUUUUUAUAUAAUUUUUAUUUUAUUUUUUUUCUGUUUUUGUUUUUGUCACGCCUCUCUGUCAUCAGCACGGUGUCGGUGACGUGGCCGGUAAAGACCCCCCACUCUAGGGCUACAUAGGGCCGCAGUGAUCGUCCACGUGUCGGCGUCGGUGUCGGCGAAGAUGCAUCGUCGUCGAGGCGGCAUAGAAGGAGGGAGGAGAGACGGGAAGGCAGGAGAGCGAGAGAAGGCGGCCAUCGUCGAAACUGUGGAGGAGAGUCAGAGAAGAAAAGAAAGAAAAAAUGCAAAAAAAAAAAGUCACAGCCCGGCUUAGGGGGAUCGGCAGGCGAGGAAGGUGGGGGCGCGGCAGCGACGCGCGCUCUGUCUUCGCCGCUCUGUGGGAAGAGAAAGAAAAAAAAGAACUGAGAGAAAAAAAAGAAAAGAAAAAGGUAUAAGGGCACCUCCGCUCCGUCUUCGCCGCUCUCUUGGAAGAAAAAGAAAUAAGAACGAGAGAAAAAAAGAGGAGAGAAAGAGGAACAGAGAAAAAAGUAUAUAGGAUAUUUUGGUCAGUUUGCUGAAAAAGCGGACCGAAUCUGCAAAAGCCAAAAAGAUGGCCCGAUUUUGUAAAAGCCCAAAAUAAGUGGAUUUUUUAUGCAAAUUGGCCAUUUUUUUAUCCAGUUAAUAUAUCUAAAAUAUGAUAAAAAUUGAUUAGUUAAGUUUUAAUAUUUUUUAUUUAGUUUGUUCAUUUAAAAUAUGAUAAAAGUUGAUUAAUUAAAUAUUAAUAUUUUUUUUACUUUAUAAUUUUUAUUAUUUAUUACUAUAAUUUAUGUAUAAGAAAAUUAUUUAGUUGUUUUAAAUUAAUUUUAAUUAUAUAAAAAUAUACUUAUAUUAUUUUUAUUUAUUAAAAUAUUUAUUAUUUAUAUAUAAAUUAUAUUUUUACAUAAUACACUUCCUACCAAAUAAAUAACAGAACUAAUGAAACUUUACUUCCAUAGCUACGAAACAAACAGCGGAAAAGAAGUAGUUUUCACCGAAUUUCACUUCAACUCAAAGUCCACUUCAACCUAAAGUCCAGUUUAAGUGAGGUGUCCGAGGUUUCGUUUUCACACGUGUCGGAAGGAUGAUAACAACAGGUUAUUUAAUAUGAUUAAUAAUUUGUAAAACUAUAUUAUCAUUAAAUUAUUGGUAUAUAUUUUUAUAAAAAUAAAAAAUAUUUUUUAUUUUAUAUUUUAACUGUGCACAACGUACUUUUUUAGCCAGGUGUACGUUUCAGAAACGUCUAACAUAGACGUGGCGGAAAGGUCGUGGGUAAAGCUGGGACGUGGAAAGUUGGAUUCGACAAAUAAGGGCUUAAUUAUUUUUAAAAAAAAUUAUGCAGUUUAUUUUGUAUCUUAAAUAUUUUUUGCAUAAAUAAUUUAAAUAAUAUUCCAAUCCAAGAGGCAAUAGCAAAUGAUUUGACUAGCAUUACAACUUGUCGGUAGAUGAUUUAGUUUUUUUUUGUAGUGUCUAUUAGACGAAUUCGAAAUAUGAAAAAGAAAUGGACUGAGUUUGGAAUAACUUGUUUUGAUAGGGAUGUAUAAUUUUUUUAUUUUUGUUUUUAUUUUCCGUCGUUCUCACCAUCUUUUAACUUUUUCGAAAUAUUUUUGUCUCAACUUUAUAUUGUUGAAUUCAUAUACUCAUAAUUGAAUGAAGUGAAUUAAAUAACAUGCUACAUUUAUCAUAAAAAAAUUAAAUAAUAUUAAUGUUGUAUUUUAACACUUUUUUUAUUUUUAAUGAAAAGUUAUUAUAGUGAUGGGGUCACAAAACCAUUCGACAUUAAGAAUGUUUAAAUUUUUGCAUAAAAUUAUUUUUCAUAAUUCAUAUUAAGUUUUGAUCUUUGAAGGUGUGUUUCAAUGUACUAUCUAAACAUAUCUUUGUUAAAAUUAAAGGAGUCCUAACUAAAUAGCCCAUUUUAAACAGAACAAAAAGUGCAGGAUAUGAUAUUAUUUAAAUUUUUUAUGCCGGGGAAUAUUUAAAACACGAAGUGAACCAUAAAAGUAUUUUUACAAUAUAUACGGAGACAUUGAGGAUCAAGCACAUACGACAUGAAAGGAGGGUAAAUCACAGCCGUUCGUUCGCAACCUGCCUAAGAUACGGCUCAUGUAUUAGUGUACACUCGUUGCACGAGCGUUUAGAAAUAUGCAACAUAUGUAGUAGGAUGUUGUAGAUGAUUAGAGAUGAUUCUAGAAAGAAGAAUCUCUCACGUUGUGGGGCCAUAUUUGUACAAAUGUUUCUCCCUUUAUUUGAUGUUUGAUUUAAUUUAUGCUUUUUUUUUCCUCUUAAAUAUGUUGGAAAAAAUUUUCUGAUCUUUUAAUAUAAUAUUUUUCAAAAAUCAAUUCGAAAAUUUAAUUAUAGUUUAAAAAAAUUUCGAAACGAAAUUAAAUAACAAAUACGGCAAAGAAAAGAUUUAGAUAAGACCUGUGGAUAGAGACGUGCAGAGCACUGUUCUAGAAACGAAAUUGCCCCUCCACGUGCAAGGUUUUCCGGCAAUUACUCCUAGCAAUACAAUGUUGUCACCUCGUCGGCAUGCUUCCAAGGUGGCGCAAGACGAACCCAACCAGCUUCAAAUCCAGCAAAAGAAAACUCGACGAAAAUCCAGAAAGUAGAAAAAACCGAGAGGCUUUAGGUUUGCUCGGGUUAUUAAUUAACUCGUAUGUAUAGAUUGCACGCGCGAGAGUAUUACCAAACAACUAGCUUGAGAAUAAAGCAAUAUAUAAAAAUCACAAACACCAUUUUGGUUUCCAAUGUGGGAUUAAACAUCUCACAUGAAAAUUUUAAGUUGGGCUUUCAAGAGGCCCAUUAAUAAUUAUUGGGUUUUUCAAGUGGUUUUAAUAAAUUUUAAAUCACAAAAUCCAAUAAAAACCCAAUAAAAUAGAAUGAUUAGGAGUUGUCGGCCAAAUUUAAAAUCGAAUCUAUUGAACUAUCAAAAUAUAUUCUUCGUGAUCUUAUUUUAAUGAUUGGCUAUCAACUGCUAGAGCAGUUAGUUAGGUACAUUUAAUACUGAAUAAGUAUCUGAUUCAAAUCCUGCUUUAAUGAGAAAAAAAAAGAAGAAGAUGUGUGCGCGCGUUUUCUAGUUGCAUAAUGUGAAAUAAUAUAAUAUUUAGUAUUUUUUGCAUAGCAUUAGAGAGCUAGUUAGCUAGAGUCUACUCCAGUAAGGUUUGAGUUGAGAAUACAAAUCUCGUAUGAAAUGUAACUGAUCGAUUUAGUGGUCGGUGGUAGUUCGUCCUUUGACACUUUUUUUGGGCCUUGUCUACAUUGUUGUCUUUCGAGUAUCCUCUCUUUUAUUGUAUGGGCUUGAUUCAAUUCGAAUUGUGGGCUCUCUCUUGGGCUGGUGUUAACGACACAAAUCCAAAAUCCAAACCCACUAUUAUUAACACUAGCCAAAUUACUUUUUAUUUUUAAAAAUAUCAGAAAUAGUCGUAAUAAUUUAUUCCAUUGCAGAAAUUAAAUUUAAAACCACUGAGUUUUCUCGAGAGAUAAUAGGUAGCACGUUAUCCGCUUCGUUUAUUUCAUUUCGAAAUAAACUUAGUUGGAAAAUUGAAUUAACUAAGAUUCGAACUUGGGACCUCGGGUACCAACCAACAAGCCCUUUACCACUUGCUCUAGGGAUCGAUCAGUAAUAUGUUUAAAAUAUUAAACUUUAAUACGUAAGAGUGUUAUUUAUGCUCACUGUUGCGAAUGAUAUGAGAUUGAUUACAGGCCCAAUUUACACUGAUUCCAUGCUUCUUUGCUAGGGAUGCAAAUAGAUCCUGGCUGGCGGUGCUUCCGCCCCGAUCCACUUAGAAUAGGGCGGUUAGUAGGGACCCCAAGAAAGAAAACAUAAAAAUCGGUUUUGAAUCCAUUCCAAUCUAUAAAAAAUGGAGUGCAUGUGGGGAAUCCCUUUCUUUGUCUAUUCUAAUGUGCUACCGCUCAUUUCCCUACCCGCUCUGAAUGAAACAGUAAGUGGGGACUAAAAAUAGUAUAAAAAUUAAUCUAUCUCGAAUCCGCUCCGCUUCGCUAAGAAAACAGAAAGGAAGGUUGGGGACCUCUCCGUCUCCCAGAUCCGCCCGUCCAUAACUAGGGAGUCUAAUAUAAGGCCGAGUUGGGUUAGCCCUACCCACAUAAUUCAGAACAGGGUUACGCCUGAAAACAACCCAACCCAACCCAACAUGGGUCUGGAUUCGAACCAAACUGUGUUGACUCAUCUUUUGGCGGUUCAAAGGCAAAGAAGUUUAUUGUAUCACACUUGCAUCACAUCAUCAAUAACAAACCAAUCAUAUUUUUUUAUUCUUUUAAAAAAUAUAAUAAACUAUUUUUUAAUUUUUAUAAUCAUGAUGGAACAAAUAAAUUUAAAAAAUAUUUGAUUGGUUGGGAAUGCCAGGACUGAUGCAUUUCAGAAUUUUUUGUUCAAGGCACAGCGAUACAGCAUGCUUGUCCUUUCUCUUAAUCUUCUAAAUUUGUUUUCUAUUAAAUAAUGCAAAAAAAAAAAAAUUGCUCAAAACAUAUUAGAGAAGAAAUCUAAAUUUUGCUCAAAAUAUAUUAUAAUCGAGAAGAAAUUUAAUGUACACAAAAAAUAUAUUAGAAAAUACUUAUAUUUGUGCCUGCUCCGAAAUAGUCUACAGUUCAAGUAAGCUCUAUGCAUUUAUUGAAAAAAAAAAUCAGAAUAUUUUAGCACUUUGAAUAUUUUUUUUUACAAUAUACUGAUGGAAAUUUCUUUUUUUUACAGAUUUAAAAUACAUGGAGUAAAUCCUAAAACUCUGUUUUUUGAUACGAUUUUGCUUUUACCUCUAAAAUAAAUAGAACUCAAAAGCCUGGUUAGCAUGCAUGUGCUCCAACUUAAAAUGCCUUAUAUAGCCCUUUAAAAUUUUAAAAAUAUCUAAUAUAUUAUUAGUUGACCAUAAUUAGUCAUGUUUAGUUAAGGGUGCGCCAAAAUAUAAAAUUUGAGUCGUGCAUCUCAAUUUGAAUAAAUCUGUGAUGUGACUGCAUCACAAUUAUAAAUUAAUUAGUGUUUUUCAUUCACUAAAAAAAAACAUAAUUUAUAACUUGCCAAACAUCUCUAUUAUAUUUCACAUAUAAAAAAUUAUUUUAUUAUAAAAAAUUUAACUUCUAAAACUAAAUAUAAUAUAUUUUUUAUAUAUUUUAAUUGUGCUAUUAAUACAUCAAAUACUAAUAGCUUCUUCUUCUUCUCCUUCUCUCUCUCUCUCUCUCUCUCUCUCUCUCUCUCUCUCUCUCUCUCUAACGAAACCGAUCGCCGAAUCAGACGUCCCAUCAUCAAAAACAACUUACAAGUACGAAAGCCCCCGUACUUUCGAAAGCAUAGGAGCCUAGCUCAUAUAUAUAUAUAUAUAUAUAUAUAUAUAUAUAUAUAUAUAGAGCAGGGCUGCUGUGCUCUCAGGAGCACGGAGGCCUCUCCGUGCGCCUACGGGGGCGAGUCACCGUUUACGAUUACGGAAUUUUUGAAUCGACGAAUCGCAACAACACGCUCGUUAGACUUGAUCUAGCGAAUUUUGAAGUUCUAAGAAAAUAUAUUUUUGCGCAUUUUUCGAUAUCAUUUACUAGUGGAUCGGAAGGAUUCAAAUCGUAUGAAUUUUAUAAUGGUUAGAUAAUCUGCGUUUUCACAUUUUACGGUUGUAGAACGUAUAUCAAAUCAGUAUGAAAUUUUGAUAGAAAAUUUCUUUAUACUAUCUAGCAAAAGAUCUAUAUUUCUGGAUCGAAAAUUUUUAGUGCUUAUAUACCGACACAUUUAUAUAGGAUUUUUCAUUUUCAAAGCGUUAACAAAUUAUUGAUUUUGAAUCUUUUCGAUUGGCUAGGUAAAUGAUAUCGAGAAAAUCGUAAAUUAUUUUCUACGAACUUUAAGAAUACCUAGCAUCAAGUUUUAACGGAGCGAUCGUGCGAUUCGAAAAUCAUCAUCGAAACGGCUCAGGAGCACGGAGGCCUCCAUGCUCCUGAGAGACAGCAGCCCUGCUCUAUAUAUAUAUAGUAGUAAUAAUAAUAUAUAAAUAUAUAGAUGAGGCCUACUAAUGCUAUCGAACAGCAGGAGCCUGCCGUGUUCCAGCUUCAGGUUUCGAUCGUUGCGACUUCGCAAUCGUCGAUCGGUCUUUAAACUUGAUCAUAGAGUAUUUGAAGUAUCUAGAAAAUAAAUUUAUGAUUUUACUCAUUUUUGCCUAGUGAAGAAGGGCUCAAAAUCACGGCUGAACAAAUAAAAAUCUUACAAAAUGUAAUAUAUAAACAUUUAAAAUUUUUAAAUCAAAGAUAUUGAAUCAUUGUUUUUAUAUAGUGUAAAGAAUUUUUAUCAAAUGUCAGCGUGAUUUGGAUAUUUGCUACACNNNNNNNNNNNNNNNNNNNNNNNNNNNNNNNNNNNNNNNNNNNNNNNNNNNNNNNNNNNNNNNNNNNNNNNNNNNNNNNNNNNNNNNNNNNNNNNNNNNNNNNNNNNNNNNNNNNNNNNNNNNNNNNNNNNNNNNNNNNNNNNNNNNNNNNNNNNNNNNNNNNNNNNNNNNNNNNNNNNNNNNNNNNNNNNNNNNNNNNNNNNNNNNNNNNNNNNNNNNNNNNNNNNNNNNNNNNNNNNNNNNNNNNNNNNNNNNNNNNNNNNNNNNNNNNNNNNNNNNNNNNNNNNNNNNNNNNNNNNNNNNNNNNNNNNNNNNNNNNNNNNNNNNNNNNNNNNNNNNNNNNNNNNNNNNNNNNNNNNNNNNNNNNNNNNNNNNNNNNNNNNNNNNNNNNNNNNNNNNNNNNNNNNNNNNNNNNNNNNNNNNNNNNNNNNNNNNNNNNNNNNNNNNNNNNNNNNNNNNNNNNNNNNNNNNNNNNNNNNNNNNNNNNNNNNNNNNNNNNNNNNNNNNNNNNNNNNNNNNNNNNNNNNNNNNNGUAUUUUAGAAUAACGGUGGAACAUAUGAGAGGCAUUUUAGAAAGAAAAAAAAAAACAGGGGUAGAUCGGAUAUAUCUGAGCGUAUGAGGGGUAUAUAGGCAAUUAUCGCUAUUAAUAUAUAUAUUUAUAUGUGUAUGUAUGUAUGUAUGCAUACAUAUAUAUAGACAUAUAUAUACAGAACUAAGCUACUAUACUAUUAAUAGCACCAAGUCAUUGGUGCUAUUAGGUUUUGGGCUCUUGGAUGAAUGGAUGUGCGGUUAGAAUAAUAGUGGACCUAGGGUUGAAUAGGUGGUUGAUUAGUAUGAUCUAAUGGGUGGAAAUAGUCAAAAGGAUAGAUUUAACGGCGGAAAACUUUGUAGUACCAACUGCUUGGUGCUAUUGUAGCAUAGUAGCCAGGCUCUAUAUAUACAUAUACCUAUAAAUAUAUAUAUAUACACACAUACAUAUAUAUACAUACGUACAUAUAUAUAUAUGCAUAUGCAUAUAUACGUACAUAUAUAUAUAUAUAUGGGAUAAUUGCCUAUAUACUUCUCAAAACUUCGGAAAUAUCUCAUCGACCCUUACUUUUUUUUCUUUUCAAUAUACCCUUUAUAUAUUUCUUUAUUAUUCCAAAAUACCCGUGAGUUAAAUAUCUAUGACAAUUAAAAAAAAUUAAAAUGUUGCUUUUGUCCUUAACUUAAGGGCAAAUAAGAAAUAUUGGUGAUGAUAGAGGGGUAUAUUUGAAAAGACCAAAAAAUAAAAUACUUUUUGUGCCCCUAACUUAAGGCAAAUAAAAAAAGUGGGUGCGGUAGAAGGGUUAUUUGAAAGGACAAAAUAAUAAUUUUAUAGAAAUAAAAGAGUUUAUUAAUAGAUUUUAACUCUAGAAGUAUAUUUGAAAUAGGUUGGAACGUUAAAAGAGUAUUUUCAAUAUUAGCCUUCUAAGAGGGGGAAAUCAGAAAGUUGAAAACUUUUCAAGCGUAUAUAAGCAAUUACCUAUAUAUAUAUAUAUAUAUAUAUAUAUAUAUAGAACUAGGUUAAUAUACUAUUAAUAGUACCAAGUCAUUGGUGCUACCAAGUUUUUGGCCAUUGGAUUAAGAGAUGUGCGAUUAGGAUGAUGUGGGCUCCCUAGGGUUGAGUGGGUGGUUGGUCGAAUAGUAUAAUCUAAUGGAUAAAAAUAAUCAAAUGAUUAAAUCUAACGGUGGAAAACUCGAUAGCACUAAACCCUUGGUGCUAUCGAUAGUAUCUCAGUUGGACUAUAUAUAGUAAUAGUUAUAUAUAAUAUAAUUUUAUUAUAUAUACUAUAUAUAUAUAUAUAUAUAUAUAUAUACUAUAUAUUAGAGUGUGGCUAAGAUGCUUAUGAAGCACGGAGGGCUCUCGAUGCUUCCACUUUGUUUUCGAUAUGUCGGACUUUCGAAUUGACGAAUCGCUCCGUUAGACGUUGAUCUAGAGUAUUUGAAGUAUCUUAGAAAUAAAUUUGCGAUUUUUCGAUAAUUGUCCUAGUGAUCGAAGAUGGCUCAAAUCAACGGCUGAAAAAUAAAAUCUUACAAAUAUGAUGAUAUGACAUUAAAAUUUUAGAUAAAGUUAUUGAUCUUGUUUUUAUGGUAUAAAAAAAUUUUCUAUCACAAAUUUCAUUGUGAUUUGGAUAUUUCUACACCGUUAAACUUGCAACCGUCACACGGCCAUUAAAAUUUAUUGAUUUGAGCCUUAAUCACUAGGCAAAUGAUAUCGAAAAAUCACAAAUUUAUUUUUUUUAGGUACUUCAAAUACUCAUAGAUCAACUCUAACAGAGGCCGAUCGUUGAUUCGGAAGUUCGAACACGAAAACAAUGGAAGCGGAAGGCUCGUGCUAUCCAUAGCAUACCGGCCCACGACAUAAUAUAUAUAUAGACUUAGCUUGAAAAUAUCAUUAGCACCUAAUUAUUUGUGCUAUAUAUUUUUAGCAUUGGAUCGAGACAAUGUGCGGUUAAGAAUGAUGUGGGCCCCUAGGGUGGUGAUGGUUUAGAUUGAAUAGUAUAAUCAGACUGAUAUAUUAUACUAUAGAGAGAGAGAGAGUCGAGCAUUGCGAAUAACUAUUCGGGUAGCAAACGAGCUCCGUGCCAACCUUUGUUUUCCGAUGAUGGAGCCUUCAAAUGACGAUCGCACCGUUUGAAAAUUGAUCUUACACUUGAAGUAUCUUAGAAUUCAAAUUCAUACUUUUCCGAAUAUUGUAUUUCUUGUCCAUCAACGGCUGGGCGUAAAAUGAAUGUUGAAGCAAUGAUAUCCAUCUAAAAGUGAUGAUAGAAAUUUGUAAUCAUGAUGCUGAGAGUAUAGAUUUUGUUUAAAUACAGCUUAAAAUUCUCUAACCAAAAUUCAAUUGAUUUGGAUCAGUUUUCACUCGCUUUAAGGAGAAAACUCCUCAUAUCAACCUUAAUUACUAAAAAUUAAUUGAAACCCUUUGAUACUAAGUAAAUGAUGUCGAAAAGAUUUGAAUUUAAUUUUUAAAUACUUCAAGUGAUAUGAUCAUGUUCAAUGUGCGAUCGUCGAUUUGAAAGCUCCAUUCAUCGUGGCCUGUUUGCUCCGAUAGUAUUCCAGCAACUCUCUCUCUCUCUCUCUCUCUCUCUCUCUCCUCUCUCUCUCUCUCUUCUCUCUCUCUCUUCUCUCUCUUCUCUCUCGUAUAUAUAUAUAUAUAAUAUAUAUAUAUUAUCAUAUAUAUAUAUAUAUAUAUAUAUGCUACUUAUACUACUCAAUAGUUCAAGAGCCUAGCUACUAUGGUUUUCGGCCGUUGGAGAAAGAAUGUCGCCGGUUAGGAUGAUAGUGGUCCCCGUUUAAAUUAGAAGUGUCGCGCUCUACGCAUUGAGUGAGGUGGUUGAUUUAUAGUUAUAAUCUAACGUGGUAGAAAUGAUCAAACGGGGGUUGGAUCUAACCGGGUAGAUAAACUCAAUAAGCUACCAAAGCGGCUUGGUACUAUCGUGUAUUAGUAGCUCGGACUAUAUAUAUAUAUAAUAUAUAUAUAUCUAAUAUAUAUAUUAUAUAUAAAUUAAGCUCUAUGCUUUUUAAACAGUACAACAGUUAUUGGUGCUUGUAAUAUUUUAAACGUUGGAUUAAGGGAUGUGCGGUUAGGUAUGAUGUGGCGCCCCUAUGGUUGAGGUGGGUGCGUUGGUUAUAGUAUAAUUUUAACGGUUAAAAAAUGAUCAAGAGGAGUAACUCUAACUGGUUAAAAACUUUACAAGCCCAAAUGCCCUUGUAAUUUGUACAGGCACCAUAGCCUGAACUCUCUACUCUCUCUCCUCCUCUCUAUAUAUAUAUUAUACAACACCUACAAUCAUCAUAUGCAGUUUGCAAUGCCAAUGGCAUUUAUUUUUGAAAAUUAAAUAAUUUUUUUUCUAAAAUAUAUUUAAUUUUAAGUAUUUAAUGAAUGAAUAUAGAUUACUUUUAUACUAUUAUCCUAUUACUUACUGUCUCACAUCUCAUCAGGCUUAUAGUUGGCUAGGAGAUUUUAAUUUUUUUAUAACACUCAAUAUCUAAUUAUUCAAUAUAAUUAUAUAUAUAUAUAUAUAUAUAUAUAUAUUGAUUUGAAGAAGAUCGUAAAAAUAUUAAUACAAUUUUGGGAUAAUUUUGAAUUCUAUCGCUUAUAUUUUGAGAAGUUUUUGUCUAUACCCAAUGUACAUAUUUUAUAUACUACAUUCAAUAUUUAACGUUUAUUUUUUAAAAAUUAUAUAUUAAAAUUUAUAAAUUUUUAAAAUCAUAAUUUCUAAGUAUUAAUUGAACAUAAAAAUUAACAAUAUAAAAAAAAUUUGAUGAAUUUGGUAAGUAGAUGCUCAAAAUAUAUAAUGUCAUAGAGGUAUGAUUAUAUUUAUGAAUUUUGUAAUUUUUUUUAAUUUCAUAAAAUAUGAAUUGAAUUCUAAUUUUUAGAAAGAGCAUACAUGCGAGCGUAAGUUGAAAUGAAGAAGACCACGUUGCUCCUGCCGUUCGCGGUGUUGAAUUUGAAAGUCUUGGUCGCGAGGUUGCUGCUAAUCUGUAAGGCGACGCGAGAGCCAGAUUUACAAGAAAUACAAAUAUGGAGAAUACCUCACAAAUAUGGAGACGAAGAAAAGUUGUGGAAGCAUCCGUAGGAGAUUUCACAAACCCCACGUUGCUAUCAAUGUCCUCUACGUAGAAGAUGAAAUCUUGAAUGCAAUGUUGCCGGUAGAGCGAGGUGGCACAGGAAACGGAGUCGCCGGAGAAACCGUGGAAGGUUAAUGAGGUGGAUCGAUCGAAGUGGGAGGCAUGCUUUGGAAAGGAUUUAGGGUUUUUAAGUUUGUUUAAGGUGUGUUUGGUUUGAAAUAAAAGAGGGUGAAAAAAAAUUCGGAUGAAAAAUAGUUUACGGGUUCGAAUUUAAAAAAUUUUCAUCGAACCCUCUUUUGUUUUCCAUGCGAGACCGAUGAAAAACGAAAGGCGUACGACGAAAAUCGCAGCUCACGCCUCAUCUCUGAGGAGCGUGUUUUCACGCGGUGGACAGCGUGAAAGGGAGGUCCUUGCUAGACCUCCUUUCGUUACAUUUAUAUUUUACGCAGUCCACGAUGCCAUUUUGGCGUCGUGGACCACGCGAGAGGGAGGUCAAUGCUGGACCUCCCUGUCAUGUGUGUAUAUAUAUAAUUUUAUUUAUAAAUAUUUAUUUUUUUUAUUAUAUAUAAUAUUUUAUUUUUAUAUAAAGAUAAAUAUAAUAUUUUAUUUAUAAAUUUAUAAUUAUUUAUUAAUAUUCCUAAAUAUAUUUAAAUCUAUAAAUAGAAAUUAAUAAUAAUAAUAUAUAUAAGAUAAUAAUUAUUAUAUAUUAAUAAUAUAUAUAAUAAAAAAUUUAUUAAAUAAUUUUUUAUCUAUUUUUUUUUUUUACAAACUAAAUACUAAAUAACGUAAAAUUUUUUUCCCACUGAAAAUUUUUUUCACCGAAAAUUUUUUUUCCAUAGUUUUACAUGAAACCAAACACACCCUUAGGAUUUCUUUCACUUCGCACAAGAGGAAAAAGGUGAAAAUGCACUAUAUGCCUUAUAGUACAAGAAAGUUACAAUAAAAAAAAUAUAAUAAAAAAUUAGGACAAUCUUUUGUGGCCAACUAUAAAUUUGGCCAUACAUAUAGAUGUUAUUAGUGGAAAAAUUGUAAAACAACAACAAAUACAAAGCAAUUUUUACACAUAUUUUUGGCAUUGUAAUUUUUGCCGCCAAAUAUUAUUUUACCUAGCCCCAAAACACAUUUAGAAUUUAUGGCCAUAUGUAUUGCCACAGCAAAUAGAAUUUUUUUUGCGGCCAACAAACAAAAAUAGUCACAAACUGUUUAGGAAAUUUUGGCGACAAAUUCACCACAGUUAUUUCUUAAUUGUUUUUGUGACCAAAAUUUGCUAUGGCUAUAUAUAGUGCAUCGAAUUAGUGGCAAUAAUUAAUAAAUCCCCACAAUAGAUAUAUGAUAAUUUGAGUUAAGAUUAAUAGUGAGGACAAGUUGAAAGACGUCACAAAAAAUGUGUAUAUUGUGGCGGUUAUAAAUUUCCCACAAAUAAUUUGCCACAAAAAAUCCUUUUUCUUAUAGUGAAAUAAAGUUUUAAACUUGUGAAUCUCUUAAUUCUGAUGCUAAAACUUUAAGCAUAAUCAAACUCUUAUAUCUCUAAUUAAGAUUUGCUCUUAUCUCAAAGUUUGAGUUAGUAAGCAACGUUUGAUCACAUCAUACCAUGUACAAAAAGUGUCUCCACAGUCCCAGCGCGAGAAAAAAGUUUACUGUAUCAUAUUUGUAAUAUAUUACCAACAACCUGUCAAUUAUAUUUCAUUUAUUGAGAGAAAAAUAAAUCAAAAAUAUUUUUCUAAUAAUUAUUAUGAGGUGGGCGAAUCCAAAAAAAAAAAAAAAAAUCUGAUUAGCCGAAAAACAUUAUAUCAGAAAUAUAAUUGGUACGUACUAAACUUUUUUAGAUGUGGAAGAGGUACUUUUCCCCCCAAAACGUGUCUGCCACAACAAAUGGCCUUUAUUAGUUUAAGGGAAAACUUCAAAAACUCCCCAGUAGUUUCGUAGUUUCUUACUUUGUCCCUCUAUGAUUUAAAAUGUAUCAAUUUGCUCCCCUAUGAUUUCUUUUUUUUUCUUUUUCUUAUCAAUUUCAUUAUUUUUUUUUCUUAAAUCAGUGAUAAAGUUAAAAUUAAAUGGUACUAAAAUAAAUAUUUGAUAAAUUUAGAUGGAUAUUUGAAGUUUUUUGUAUAUAAUUUAAUGAAAUAUUAACGAAAAAACUAUCAAAAAGAUAAAAACGAAAUCACAGAGGAGCAAAUUGAUACACUUUAAAUUACAGAAUACUAAAGUGAGAAACUACAAAAUCACAGGGGUUUUUUUUUGAAGUUUUCCCUUAGUUUAAAGACUAAACUCAACCUUCUACGACCCAGUCAUAUUCGUAUGGUUGGAAAUAAUUAAACAAUAUAUGUACUAGGAAAUAAUUAAACAAUAUAUGUACUACCAAGUCCACUCCCUUCACAUUUAAAUAGAUCUCCUCACCAACGCAAUCACCAUCAAAAAAAAUAAAAGAAGAAACCAAAAGGGAGCAAACUACACCCUACUUUUCGCUACCUCGUCGUUCUUUCGCAAGAGCUUUAGUUUUCAAGUGAUCUCGAAAUCGAAACAGAAACCGGCGUAUAUACAUCUGAAACUAUGCCGGGUUGUUUACAUUCCUCCGCCCCUCGCAUGUCGUCGUCAUCGUCGUCGUCGUCGUCACGGCCUCAGCAGGUUCGAACCGGGUCUGCGAGAACCCACCCCCGGUACAUCCCGAAACGGGGAACGAUUCUGAAGCGCAUCCUGAGAAGCCUCUCUUGCAUUGGCGCGCCGACACGUACCCGGCCGACAAACUCCGGUGGCAAUUGAUUCUGAAUUGGAUUGGAUUGGAUUAAAUGAGAUUGGUGGAGGGUUUAGACUUAUUGGGUUGGAUCGGAUAGUUGACAAUGUAGCCUAAUUUGGUUGUGGAUUUCGACAACCUUUUUUUAUUUGUGCUCUGACAUAGUUUAGAAUUUAAUUUUGAGGCGUUCAAAAAAAAAUAAUUGAUGUAAUUUUUUUUGAAAAAUAGUAAUUCCGACUAUUUCCUAUUUUUGGUUAUUGGAUUGAGGGUGUUCUAUGAGCUUUGAAUUAAAAGCAACGAAUAAACGUUAAUUUGAAUUAUUAUUGGGAUAUAAAUAUAAGCUUGUAGAAUUUUCUCCCCCCAAAUUAACGAUGACAUUUGUUUAAUAAAAAAAAAUCUAAUUAGUUUCUGAAAUUCCAAGUUCGAAAUCUCCCUCGCGGCCGUGCGGAGACAAAAAAAAAAAAAAAAAAAACUUGCAAUUGCAUUUGCAUCCUUAUUGAUUAUAUACCUCCAAAUGCAUUUCUAAUUAUAUAUAUCUCUAAUUGUAACGAGUGCGUAUAAAUCUCCCCUUUGUUUGAUUGCAAAUAAUGGCAUAAAAGAGAUUGGGUUUUUAUAUAAAUGGCACCAAAUAUCACUGAAGCACGAAAAGCAUACAAAAUGAGAGAAUAUGAGGUCAAAAUUGUGAACCCUAACUGCCAAUCAAUUAUCCCAAAAAUACGUAUUUAUAGAAAAGGCACGCCCACUAUAUUUAAGGGCAUAGUCAUAAUACUUAUGAACUUCGAUCUGAUUCAAUCCAUCUGAAUGCUAGGUCUAUUGUUGGGGCUCUUACCGUUAGGUCUCUUAUACAAGACUGCAGUUCCACUCAACUUAUUAGACUUAUCCAACUUAAUUUAUUAGUCUGUUGGACUUAUUGUCACAAAAAAAAAAGAAUUAAAUUUAUUUUAACCAAAUAAUAAAUAACUAAUAAAAAUAUAGCCAGCCUAUUUCACUUGUUAUUUUAAUUUUUUUAACUUAAAAAAGACUCAGUCGUGCGGAGACAAUUCUGGCACAAUUUGGACUUCAUGAUUGGUCAAGCUAAUAAAAAAUAAAAAAUACUACUUAAUUGGAUUAUACCAUCUCACGAGCCCAUGGGCUUGGAUUUUUUAUUUUUAUUUUUUUAUUUAUUAUUAUUAUUAUUAUUUUUUUUUUGUACAUAUGUAGAUCUUGGACUACAUUAGAAUAAGAGAUUUCGUAAUAAUUCUGCUGUUGUCGGUUUUGGAACUGUAAAAAAAAAUCAAAGAAAAUAAUUUUCAAGAAAUUUAUUUUUCAAUUUUUCGCUCAUUUUAUUGAAGGAAAAUAACUAUUUUGAAAAUUAUUUUUCAUACUUUCGAAAAAUACCACUUUUUUUUUCAUUUUUAAAAAAAAAUAAAAUACUAAGUUUUCAUAAAGCUUGUUUUGCUUAGGCUAAGCGAUGAAAAACUGAAAAUUAAUUUUUUAUAAAAAAAAAUUUCUCGAAAUUUUUUUUUCAUUUCCUUUCGAUGAAGCCAAAUACACCCUUAAUUUUCUUACAUGAAAGGUCUGGACAUUUUUUCAAUUCUUAUUACCAAUAUUAACGGGAAGUGUUCAAAUGAAGCAAAGAGUUUGGAGGGACAUGAAUUUUCGGGCAUUUAUCUGAUAUAUAGUAGAUCCUUUUAUAUAUAUAUAAUAUAUUAAUAUUAUAUAAAUAUAUAUAUAUAUAUGGUUGAGCCUGGCAAUACUAUCGGUAGCAAACGAGCUCCGUUGCCAUUUCAUUUGUUUCUCGAUGAUUGGAGCCUCCAAAUUCGACGAUCCGAGCUACCAGAGAAAUGAUCUAUACACUUGAAAUAUUUAGAAAUCAAAUUUCAUACUUUUCGAUGUUGUUUUCUUGGUCCUUAUAAGUAGGCGUCAAAAAUGAAUGGCCUGAAAAUGAAUCUCUCUAAAACAGUGUAUGAUAGAAAUUUUGUAAUCAUGAUCAGAGAGUAUUAGACUUGUUCUAAAUAGUUUAAAGAAUUUCUAACCAAAUUAAUUGAUUGGAUAACGUACCCAGUUAUAACAGAAACCGCCUGCAUAUAACCAUUAAAAUUACUAAUUUUUGAACCACUUGAUCAUUAGGUAAAUGAUGUCGAAAGAUUUGAAAUUGGAUUCUAGAUUCUUCAAGUGAUAUAGAUCAUGUUCAACCGGUGUCCGACGUCGAUUUGAAAAGCUCCAUAUCGAAACAACAUGGGUGGAACGGACCCGUUGCUACCGAUCAGUAUUCCAGCUCAACUCUAUAUAUAUAUAGUAUAAUAGCACGUGCCCCCUGCAUGUAUUUCAUGCUUACUAAUUAGAGGUGGUUGUACAGCUCUUAUUAAAUUUCCUUCUCUCGUCUCUGGAGCCAUAGCGAGGGGAGGACAUUGGUGAGACGUUACGCUUGCCGACGUAGCAUCGCCGAGCCGUAUUUAGCGCCGUUUUCGCCUAACCGUCGGUCAUGAAGGACAGCGAGCGGACGUGCAUUUAACGUGUCUCGACGCCGACCGGGCGAUGGAUUCGCGUUCGAUGUGGGUACCUAACUGUCCUUCUUGGUUUCUGUAACGCACGGUUGUUGAGCUUCGCGUGCUGAUUUACUGAUUUUAGCGUCGACGUUAGUGUUUCGGAUCAUACUCGACGUAGGACGUCGGAUUUUAGACGGACUUGGUUCGUUGGAUUUGGGACUUCGAGAGGAAUCCCGAAGCCUUAUUUGCUGGAUUUUGGUGAAGGUUUUGCGUAGGUCGUUCCCUAUUCUUUCUGCUGCUGCUGCUUGGGCAGAAUUGAUGUAAUAUGGGUUUCUAUGUUUAGACCCAUGGAGCGUGGUGUCGCUGGUUCGGGGAGCUGCGCCGAGCUUGACAGGGACUCCGGUGACCUUUCUUCACCAUCGGGGAUUUGCCGAUUAGGUGGGUAAUCAUCGGUUUACUCCUAAGUGCUAUAUAAUCGACAUGUAAUGUGGAAUUAUCUUGAGGGCGCAAUUGCUGGUUUAUUGAUUUAGUAUGGUAAUAAUCUGAAUUGAGCUGGUUAUUAUCUUUGGAUAUUAUAUAUAUAUAAAUAUAUUAUAUACAUGUUGGACUUGGAUAAGACUUAGGAGAAUAAGUGAGAUUAUGAUCGUCAUAUAUUUAAAACUAGGGGUGGAACUAGGCCGGCUUAGGUCGGUAAUACUAUGCCCAAGCCCGGCCCAAAAGAAAAUGUUGGGCUUCGAGUCGGGCUUUUUCCCAUUUGUUUGAAAAUAAGGCCCGGCUCAAGCCAAAGCCCAAGGCCAAACCAUCGCUUUGUGGAAGCCCAUUUUAUACAUUUAUAUAUAAUACAUAAAUAUUUUAUUUGUAUAAUAAUAUGUACCAUAUAUUACUCAUAUGAUAUAUAUAUUAAUUAAUUAUAAUAAUAAUAUACUAUUUAAUAUAUCCUAAUAUGAACUAAAUAUUUUGUUAAUAUAUAAUAUAUCCUCAUAAUAUAUAUUAGUAUAUUCAUUAAAAACACAUUAUUACUUAUAUGAUAUAUUAUAUAAUUUAUUCUUUUUAAAUAAAUAUAUAUAUAUAUAUUAUUAAAUAUUUUAUUUUAAUAAUUAAUAUAUGGGCUUUUGGGUCGGGCUCGGGCCGGGCUUGGACAUGCCAAAUAAGCCCAAAAUUUUUCGGGCUAAAUUUGAAGCCCGGCCUGAACCCAAAGUUAAAUUUUUAAUACCCAAAGCCCGCCGAACAUGCGCCAUCGAGCCGAGCCUUGUUUAGGCCCGCGCGCCAGUUCCACCCUAAUUAUAAACUACCUAUUUAGCCCUAAGGCGUUGUAUAUUUUAUACGUGGCAGUACCUAAUUAGUGAGUAGUCUGCAGAUAGUAUUAGCUUAUCCAGUUACGCAUCGUCCGGGAUGCCGGUAAUUUUACAAUAGUCGUUCAGGCGUUCGACUGUUGGUGCGUCGGGUUGUACGUUGGGACCCGGUAUCGCAUUUUUCGGCGUUCGGAUUGUGCGACGGAUUGUUACCUGUGGUGUGUAUAGACCAGUUUGAGUCGUGACUGGACUUUGGCUUUGAGAAGCUUGAUUCGAGCUCCGACAGAAUACGGCUGCCAUACUGUUGGUGCUCCACGAAGUUGCCACUCCGGAGCGGAGCUUUUGCUUUCGCUUGCAUGUUCGUCAUGCCGCGUUGGACUGCUCUCCACGGAACCAGUAGUGUGGAUGGAGCUGGAAUAGUCGCACUGGGCAGGGACGGUAUGUAUUGCACGAGUCCAGACGGGUAGGCUUACAGUCCCGAUUGGAGUUGGGUCAGAUUUGUUUUCCUACAGUUCGUUAGUGAAGAGCAUGGAAUUCAGUAUAGAUUGAUAUGCCGUAGAGUUACUUCCUGCUUCCGACUAGUUCUUUGCUCCGUCUGUCUAAGACUUAGUGGCGUGCGACCGGACUUGUUUUUUGGGCCGGACCCACUGAGGACACUUGUUUUUACAGUAUAUCAUCACGCCCAGGUAGUCUCUGAUUUUUGCAGAGCCACAGGUUUCGACUGCCCUGACCUUACCGCGGUCGUAGGAUCGAGGCAAAGGCGUCGCAAUGUUAGAGCCCUACCGCACGAGCAGAGCUGAGCCCCCUACGUAGCAUAGAUGUUCUGUUGUUCGAGUUUAUGUUACAUAGCUACUUAACUCGCAGUGCGAGUACUCAUUGUAUUUUGGAUUUGGUCUAUGUAUAUUUAAAACUCAGUUGGUUUAGCUUGUUUAUUCGAGCAGCUCUAUGUACUGUUUGUAGGUAUCUGUAUACCUACAGUACAGCUGUCCUUCGUAUACAGAGGGAAAUUCUGUUGCUAUACGGCGGAUUUGUCGACGUGCCCGGGAACGAGACUAUCCGGGCGUGACAGAUUAAGUGGUUCAGAGCUUAGCUGUGUCGGUGGGACACUGAAAACCUAAAGUUUGGCAAAUCUUAGGAAGGCAAGAUCGAGAGGCGUAAUUUAUUGCGCAAAUCACAUGGAUUAAUUGUUCUAACCUCCUCCAAGAGUGGGCUCGUGAGUGAUUUGAAGAGACGUGUUUUGCCUGAGACAAUUAUGUGGCCUGAGACGACAUAAUUUUGGAGAGAAACAGGGAACCCCUUCAGACUUUCAUUGAAUGGUCGAGAGUGUUGUUGUAUCUAGACCCCGAUUUGUUCCUUUCAGCUAAUGUAAUCGUCCCAAAGGUCGACCGUCGUUGCAGAGACGUGCUAGUUAGCACGGGAUCGUGCAGGACCUCCGAGGAGACCUGAGCAGAUGAGCAGAGAGUACUCGCAGAGCAGGAACCUGACAGACCGGAGGCGCAGUGCACCCCCUUGUGGAGCGAUGUGCGGCGGACUGAGGCUAGCGCACCCCCUGAUCUGAGUGCACAGUUAGCUGCCCUGACGUGAGGUGACGACGGAGUAGGGGAGAGUUGUUGCAGAGGUUGUGUUGAGAGGUUAACUCAGUCACGAGAUCAGCAUCGAGAGUACACAAGAGCAGAUGAUUCGGCCACUGCACUUCAAGGUCGCAGUACCAGCGCGCUUGCCCCACCGUGGAGCUUCUACCAGCCCAUUGGGCUGCUAGGGGCCCGCUACAAGUUGACAGAGGGCGAAUGCAGGAGAGCUGUGGCGGACGAUGGUUGCGUUCGUUGUUCGUCGCUUUGAAUCCACCGCCAUUUACGAUGGCAGCAUGCACUGAGGCCUGGGUUGUUCAGGAUUAGGUCAGAUGCGAUCAGAGAAGCUCGUAUUUGAGUCUGAUCAUUCGGAGGGAAAGCAGGCAUCUCUGGGAGUACACUGUUUGCAGGUGAUGUCAUGACUGGUGCGGACGAGCCGAGCGCGAGAGCAGGUAGCUGUGGGGCGCAGGCUGAGGUGGAUGAGUGUUGUGAAUGCUGUGUGGGAUGUUCUUUCCAAACAGGUGAUGAAACAGAGCUCAAGGAGGAAUUUGAGGAGCUAUCAGCAGGAGAUCGCCAGUGCAGGAGUACUUCCGAGAGUUUACUCGACUCCUGAACUGAUGGUACCUAUUUGCGGCAGAGACGAAGCGCACAGGAGGUGCUAUGUUCGAGCACGGGCUGAGACCGGAUAGCUUAUAGGUUGACUCGGACGCAGAGGUCGAGCAACUCUGGAGUGUGUCUAGUAGAGCAGCCUUGUGGGUGGAGCGAAGGUGAGACAUCGCUAUAGGAAGAGGAUCAGGCCGUAGGGUAGAGUCAGAUAGGGAAGCGCCCAUUUCAGAUGACGGCGACAGUCGAGCAGCAACGUUCGCGCGAGAGCGCCGUCCACGAUCAUUUCAGGUCGGGUUUCGGAUGGCUCGCGUCCGCGUUAGGGCAUCCCGUCAGCAGGGGGCAGAUCAGGGGACGCCACAGUGUGGUGGAUCUGGCGGGCGACCACACUGGCCCCAGCAGUACGAGUUAGAGAGAGGGCAGAUGCUACGGAUGUGGUCAGCCGGGACAUAUGAGGGCCAGCUUUUUUUCGCCGAGUCAGCUAUCUCCAUCACACCAUCACUCAGCUUCAGCCCCAUCAGCACUCAGCAUCUUACGACGCGCACGAGUUUACCGCACAGGGGACAGAUCGUCUGGCCGCCGUCAGGUGACGCGGACGACAGCAGGCUCGAAAUGGCAGGAGUCUCGCUAGCUCAGGCGAUUGAGGAUUCUCAGCAGCACCGACGUGGUGCACGCUUCAUUUUGAUUUCUGGCAUGUAGAGUUCGCACUCUUUUUGAUACCGGUGGCAUCGCGUUCCUUUGUUAAGCGAGAUUUGCACAGUUGCAUGCGGUCUAUAGUUAGGAGCGUGUAUCUCAGCACGAGAAGGGUGCAGAUCCGGCCAUGUCUUACAGGUUACAGAGUGUUGUUGUGUCCUUCGCAUCCGGUGCCGUUAACUUUGGAUCAUGCCCGCAGACAUUGUUGUGUAUAGUGGUGUGGCAGCAUGCAGGACUUCGACGCUCAUGCUCGGUAUAUGGAUUGGCAUGGCGCGGCACGUACAUGUCGUCACUUGGAGCGAUUGGUGACUUCCGCGAGCCAGGCCGGCGGGGGUUCACUUUCAGAGGCUGCAGGAGUACGUUGUUUGGCCACCUGAAUAUCUCGCUAGGGCUACGACAGAUGCCUGAGUAGUGGUGUAUCGUCUUUCUAGCGACUGUGUGAGUACUACGCGUGCUUGUAUGGGGACGGUUUUAUCCUCUUUUAGUCUGCAAGUUUCGGAUUGUGUUUCCCCUGAGUUGACGACGUGCCGCCGGAGAAGAGAUGAGUUGUGAUUGAUGUAGCUUCCUGGAACUGCACAAUCUCAAAAGGUAACCUUACCGGAUGGCGCCGCAGAGCUGAGAGAGCCUAAAGGCAUCAGGCUUCAGGAUUAUGAUGUAAGUGGCUUGAGACCCAGCUGUGUCCCUUGGGGAGCGCCGUCGGGUUAUUUGUAAAGAAGAUAGGCAUUUCAGAUUGGCCUAGACCGACGUAACGGUUACUGAGGUUCGCGAACUCUUGGGAACUGGCCAGGAUAUUACCGUCGGUUUGUGGAAGCUUUGCAGAAACUUUCCACAUCCCUACACGCUUGACGCGGUAGGAUUGUUUGUCUGGGACGUACGUUCAGGAGCUUUGACGAGUUAGAGACUGAGGUUGAGUCGGGCUCCUAUCCUUGCUCCGGUGCAGUAGGGGAUGGAUCGUGAUCUACAGUGAUGCAUACGCAACAGUGACUUAGUUGCGUGAUGAUGCAGCAUCGGUAGGGUGUUGCUUUAGGCUUCACGGCAAUUAAAGUAUGAGAGAGAUUACGACGCAUGACUAUGCGAGCUUGCCGCGGGCGUUUUUGCUCGAAGUCCUGCAGGCCAUACUGUAGUGGCGAGCAUGCGAGGUCUUCUGCACGAUCAUAAAGUCUCAAGUAUCUGUUCACACAGAGAGAGCUGAACCUGAGGCAGCGCCGGUGUUGGAGUUACUGAAGCAGACGAUGACAUACGUAGUUCAGUAUCCAUCCAGCAAGCGUGGAAUGUGUGUGCAUUUAUCGUGUUGAUGCAGGAAGUCAGCUGACAGAGCCUGAGUUGAGGAUGCACUGAGCAGAGACCUGUACUCAGGAGCUUGGAAGCGCUGGGACUCGAAGAUAUACCCCCCUGGGUCUGCUGGAGGCUGACGUCUCAGUUUUACAGCCCACUCUGUUGGAUAGGAUCCUGAGAGAAAACAGAGUGUGAGAUCACUGUACUUGAUGAGGAUUAGAGAGCAGCUAGGCCAGGGCGUGAGGCCUGAAGUUUUGCUUUUAGACAUUCGGGACGUACUACGUACAGGACCGAUUGGGUGUGCCUGGAUUGAUUUAAGCAGGACAUUCUGAGAGAGGCUCAUGUUUCUCUUAUAUGGUUACCCUGGGAAUCCAAACUCAUUAAGGAGCUCGUUAAGCGCACGGUUCUGAGUUGACCUUGUGAUAUUGAAGAGGGUGCAUUGGCAGAUUUGUGCGUCAGUGUUUGACUUGCAACAAGUGUAAGGUUUCGUAGCAAGUCAGCGUGCCUGCUGGCAAGGCUUCAAGAGUCUGCCAGUGCCACGAGUGAAAGUGGGAGAUAGCAAUCACGAUCGGACUUUCGUCGUUUGGAUUGCUCGAGCCAGGGUGGCUACGACGCGAUUGGGUGGAUACGUGGACAGACUGACCAAAGUCUUUUGCCUCAUUCCUAUCAGUCAGACAUCUGGUCGCAGAGAGAGAUUCGCCCUCAUGUGACUGGAUGAAUUGUUGAGGAUUGCUGAGCGUGCCCACUUCAGAUAGUAUCCGACCGAGACCGGGUUGUCUCGCCACUUUUGUGAGAGUCAUUCAGACAGUUGCGGGCACUCAGCUUGGCAGUGAGUCGUACAGCGUUUCACCCACAGACAGGAUUGGUCAGUCAGAGCGGACCAUUCAGACUUCUAGAUGAGGACAUGCCUAGAGUGCUUAAUUUAGGAGGGUGUGGUAUCUGCAUUGAGACUGCUUAGUUGCGCGACAAACAACAGCUAUCAAGCGGAGCAUUCCAGAUGGCCUCCGUUUCGAGGCGUUGGUAUGGAACACAGAUGCAUCCCCUUUGUUUUGGAGUCGAGUGGGUGAGAGGAUACGCGUUGGUGCCUGAGAUUCUGAUUAUGGCUGAGCGAAAAGGUAAAGGAGGCGCCGACGGGAUUGUCUAGCAGCCCGAGAGGUCAAACGAGGAGCUAUGCUGAGAUACCGCGGAAGGACGAGACUUGGGUUCUCCAGGUGGGAGAUCAUGUUUUAUCUCAAAGUCUGCGCGUCAAAGGUAUUCGGCCAGAUUUGAAGUAGUGGACAAGCUCAGUCCACGUUUAUGUAGGCCCUUUCGAGGUUUUGGAGCGAGUCGCCCAGUUGCUUACAAGGAUUGCUCUACACCGACUAGCCGGCAUUCACGAUGUUUUUCCAAUCUCAGCUUUGAGGAGAGUAUGUUUUCGUGAUCCCUCCACUGUGACUCGACUUCACUGCCACUCAGAUUGGCGAGAUUCUGAGAUACGAGAUGACUGUUGGACAAUCUGCUCGAGAGACGGAAGAAUAGCGCAACCGAUCAUUCCGGGUAUGUGAAGCAGUUGAGGCAAUCACGCAGGGCGGGAGGACUUGGGAGCCUGAGACAGUGAUGAGGGAAGUUACCCAGACUUGUUGAUUCUUCAAGUGAGAUGUGCUAUAGUUUCGAGGACGAAACUUUCUUGUAGUGGGAGGAAUGUAGAUCCUUAUGAAUAUAUAUAUAUAUAUAUAUAUUAUAUAUAUAGUAUAUAUAUAAUAUAUAUCAUAUAUAUAUAUAUAUAAUAUAAGAUAUGAGCUACGGAGUUACUUUCAGUCAUCAAUCAUGGUUCUAUAUAGGCUUUUAUUAAGCCAUUGGGAUCUACUUUUGAUUAUUAAUAGCGCCUUGGAUUAAACACUAUUCACCUACACCACCUACACCAUCACUUCAACCUCACAUCUCUCCAUCCAAGGGCUGAAAACACACAAGAUUCACCCCCAUGAUACUUUACAAGUAUCUACCUCUCUCUAUUACUAUAUAUAUAUAUACAAAUGCCACAGUGCCCCCAUGCAUGUAAUUUCAUGCUUAGCAUUAAUUAGGGGUUGUACAUGCCUCCUUUAAUUAAAUUUUGCUCUCUCUCUGUCUCUGGCCUACGCACGAGGAGCGAGACCUUGGUCGAUGCGUCGUAUGCCGAGUCGCAUCCCAGAGCCGUUUGAGCUGCACGUUGUCGCCGUAACGUCGCAUGAGGCCGGCUUGAGGUGCAUUUUUCAUCCUGUCCUCGACGUUCGCCACCGGCGCGUAUUCACUGUCGAUGUUUGUGUGGGUGUACCUAACGUUCAUUCUAUGAUUUACUUGAAGCACGGUUUGAGCUCGCGUCCUUGAUUUUACUGAUUUCAGCGUCGACGUUAUGUUUCGCUCAUACUCGAUAGGAACGUCGGUAUUUCGAGCGGGAUUGGUUCUGUAUUGUCAGACUGCGCAGAGAAUCACGACGCCCUUAUUGCUGGAUUCUUGGUGAAGGUCUGCGCUAGUGAUGAUCCCUAUUUGUUCUAAUGGUGCGUUUGCUGUCUUUGUUGUUGGGUGGAAUUGAUGCUUCAAUAUGCGUUUCUAUGUUUAGGACCAUAUGGAGCGGUGUUAGUCGCUAGGUUCGGAGCUGCCGAGCUUGACAGCGGACUCGCGUGACCUUCUUUCACCAUCGGGGAUUUGCGAUUAAGGUGGGUUAAUCAUCGGUUUACUCCUAAGUGCCUAUAUAGUCGACAUGUAAUUGUGGAAUUAUCUUGUGUGGCGCAAUUGCUCGGUUUAUUGAUUUAGUAUGGUUAAUAAUCUGAAUUGGAGCUGAGUUAUUAUCUUUGGAUAUAUAUAUAUAUAUAUAUACAUGUUGGACUUGGAAAAGACUUAGGAGAAAACUCGCGAUUAUGAUCGUCAUAUAUUUAAACUACCUGAUUUAGCCCUAGGGACCGUUGUAUUAUUUUAUACUGUAGCAGUAUCCUCAUAGUGGGUAUUCCAGAUAGUUUAGCUUUCAGUUACGCUCGUGCCGGGAUGCCGAGUAUAUUUUUACAGUAGCGUUCAGGCUGUUCCGGACUGUUGGGUGCCGUCGGGGUUGUCGGUGGACCCGUAUCGCAUUUUUGGCGUCGGAUUGUGCCGAGGGCACGUUACCUGUUGGUUGUUAGACCAGUUUGAGUCGGUUACUGGACUUUGGACUUGCUCUCCAUGGACCAGUUAGUGUGGAUGGAGUUGGAUAGUCGCAACUGGGCAGGGACGGGUGUAUUCACAGUCCCAGGGACGGGUAGGCUUACAGUCCCGAUUGGAUUGGGUCAGAUUUGACAUUUCCUACAGUUCGUUAGUGUAGAGCAUGUUAGUAUAGUGAUUGAUAGCGGUAGAGUUUAUUUCCUGCUUUUCCGACUAUUCUUGCUCCCUUCUGUAGACUUAGUGGGUGGACCGAUGUUGUUUUGGGCGGUACCCACUGAGGACUACUUGUUUUUACAGUAGUUCUCACGCUCAGUUGUUACUCCUGUUUUUGCAGAGCCACAGGUUUCGACUGCUGCACUUUCCGCGGAUCAGGAUCGAGGCAAGGGCGUCGCAAGUUAGAGCCCUACCCGACGAGCAGAGCUAGAGGCCCCCUACUGCAGGUAGAUGUUUUGUUUCGAGUUUAUGUACAUAGCCUACUUAACUCGCCAAUGCGAGUAACUCUGUAUUUUGGAUUUAGUCUAUGUAUAUGAAACUCAGUUUGUUUAGCUUUUGUUUAUUCGAGCAGCUCUAUGCUACUGUUUGUAGUAUUGUAUAUCUACAGGUACAGCUGUCGCUUCGUAUACAGGAAAAAUUCUUUUGUAUACGGCGGAUUUGUCGACGUGCCCGGGGAACGAGACAUCCGGGGCGUGACAGAUAAUAUAAAAUAACUAUUUAUCUUCAAAAUCUUUAAAUUAAGUUUAAUUACAGUGGAUCACAAUUAAAUUUUUAAUUUUAAAAUAAAUAUGAAUUAACUUUUGAUGCUUAUAGUUUAAAAAACAUACUUAAAAUUAUUAAUUAAAAUUUGAUAUUCAAAAUUAAAUUUAAUUCAUGAUUUUAAUUUUAAUUUUAUAAAUUUAAAUCUCAAACUUCAAAUUUAAGAUGAGAUAAAAUUUAAAGUUCUAUAAGAUUAAAAUUUAAAUAUAUAUUUUAUAUUAAAUUCAAAUUUGAUAAUUAGUUGCAAUCAAUAAAAAUAUUAAUAUAGCAACUAAGACUUCAUUUGAGAUCGUAGAAAAAUUGUGUUAUUUGCGGUGAGAAAAUACAAUGCAAAAAUACUUUGUUUGUUUCCGUACGUAAUAUUACGUCCGCAUAUCGUAAUUAAUCAGUUGCGAUAUAUUUUCUGCGAUCCUAUCAGAAAAUGCAAAAAUAUAUCUUUAUAUAUUUUUACCUUAAUUUUAUUUUAUCUAAUAAUGUCAGAUAUGCAUGUCAAGAUAUGAUGAUGCUACUUUGCAGUGGCCAAUGAAAGACCUCGUGCAUAGGAUAUGUGCGGACAAGCUUUAUAAAAAGUUAUAGAUAUACUCUCAAAAAAAAAAAAGUUAUUGAUAUAUUUAGCGGUUAAUUAACGCUAAAUUAACAAAGUACCUGCUUGAACCGCAAGAAAGAUAGAGUGGCCUAGGUCAGGUUCAAUUUAUUGAGUAUCACGACGUCAUAUAAGAACGUCACAGAGAACACGUCACACCAGCUCCAAUUUGCUUGCCAGUUUUUAGUUCAAAAAUUAUCAGAUAAUGUGACAUCUAUCUCGUACCAUCGGGUAAUAAUAAAAGUGUCUGUGGAUGGAAUAAAAUAUGGAUAGUUGAUAUACAAUAUUCAAAAAAAAAAAUAUAUAUAUAUAUAUACCAUACCGAUUUAAUUCCAGAUUAGGUCCGAGUCUUAGCAUUUAAAUUACUAAUAUAUCCAUCUAGUUUAUUUGAGCGGGCCUAGGUAAUAACUAUCUAUAUACUACUACUUGCUCGAGACUUGCUAUGAAUCAGGUCUAAUUCGGACACCGGUACCCGUAUGCAUAUAUUUUUUAGGUUAAUAAACUUUAAAUUUCUCACUUUAGUACCAUAUGGUUUAAAGUGUAUCAAUUUAGUGCCAUAUGAUUUUAUUUUUCUCUUUUUGUCAGUUUCUCCGCUAAUUUUUUGCUAAAUCAUAUAUAAAGAACUUCAGAUAUAUCGAGUAUUUACUUUAAUACUCUUUUGUUUUAAUUUUGUCAUUAAUUUAACAAAAAAAUUAGUGAAAGGGAUAACAAAAAGAGAAAUAAAAUUACAGGAGUACGAAAGUGAUACACUUUAAACCAUUGGGUACUAAAGUGAAAAAGGGCGAAACCACAGGAAUGGUAUUUGAAGUUUUUUCUAUUUUUUAUAGAUUUUAUUAAACUGUAGAGGCAACGGCGCACAGCUCAAGAAUUUUAUGAUUUCUUGGGGAGGAGGCAAGCUGCUUGUCGGAUCGGAAACGGAUCAAAUGGUGAGACGAGAUGUGGGAGACAAAGCUGCCUGGGUGGGAAGGAGGGAUCAGGGAGGGUCAGAGGGAUCGGAGAGGCAAAGUGAGCCGCUAGGAUUUGUUUUUUUUUUUUUUUUUUUUUUUUUUUUUUUUUUUUUUUUUAACUUCUUUCUUUAACUCAAGCAAUAAACAGGGAUUCCUAUAUGGAUGAAAAUACAGAGGCUUCUCAUUUAUAAGUCUAUUAAAAUUGAUUCCUCGACUGUAAAUCUUUUUUAUUUACUAUAAGAUAUUUCAUCUGUUUGGAAUCCGAGUCCAAAUUCAGAUUUGAAAACUAUUCCACACCCUACCCAUUAAAAGGUCGAAUUCAGGUUUGAUCCAAAUCAAAUAUGAAUAUAAAGUGUCCGAAUUCAUACCUAAAACUUUAAUGGGUAACUUCUUUUACCCGUAUACUAUUUAUUUUUUUAUGGGGUUCGGUUCAAGUCCGGGUAGAAUCCAGGUUGGGUAUGGAAUAUCAAGUGUUUUGGAUAAUUUUAUCUGGCAAAUUGAGUUAGAUACUAGUAGCAGCUUAACUCAUUAGCACUAAUCAUUUAUUCGAUACAAAAUAUUAGUUCAAAAUGUUUAAGUCCAGCAAAGAUUAUAAUAACUCUUAUUUUUUAUAUUGUUUAUAUAUGUAUAUAUAUAUUCUUUCAAUCACUUUCAAUCAAUGCGAGACAAUUGAAGCAUUGUAAAGGACAAAAAUUUUAUGGGUACCAGCCCCAAAUUACUUAAUUUGGGGCCAGUCCCACAGGUGUACCACGCAGCGCCCAUCAACCACUGCUCUCUCAAUAUGGGGAGAGCAGUGGAAAUUUUUCGGGUGCACCUGGUGCAUCUAUAUUAAGUGCACCAUGAAAUUAACUUUUGGUUUUUAAUUUUUUAAAAUUAUAAUUUUAUGUAAUAAUUUAUUUAUUUUUUUAGGAGUUACCAUGCAGAAGUUAAAAUUUUACACUCUAUUUGGUUUCAAAAAAAAGAAAAUAAUAAUAAAAAUCAAAAAAUAAUUUUAUGGUGCACCUAAUAUUGAUGCACCAAGUGCACCCGGAAUUUUCAGUGCUCUCCUAUAUUAGGAGAGCAGUGGUUGGUGGGCGGAUCUGGACGCUCCCCCAAAUUAAGUAAUUUGGGGCCGGUGCUCAUAGAAUUUUUGCCCCAUUGUAAGGCUCACAUAAAGUAACCCCUAAUUGGAAAGGGACUCCUAAUUCGAAAACGUUGGCUAAUAUCCUACUAGCUCUGUUUCCAGGCAUUUUGCUGCUUUUUCUUUUACUAGGAACAAGCAUUGCGCGUUCCUCUUCAUUCGUAAUAGUACCCAUUUACUUAGUUCAGGAGUUUCUCUACCUACACACACAUAUAUAUAUGUGUGUGUGUCAUUACCUGAGUUCGUACGUGUUCUUGUUGUGAAAUAAAUUUAUAUAUACUAUGCAAAUUAAGAAUCGUAUAUCGAUAUCUUAGUAGCUUCUUGAGAACUCGAUCAUCUCCAUGGAGGGAGUUUGCGCCACCUAUGACGGAAAAAAUAAAAAGCCGAAACGCCGGAAACGGGGUUGCGUCAAGAGAAGCAUCCUGGAGCUGCUCUGCUGCUGUAUUCUGCCGAUCACCAGGUAAUGUUCCUUGCCAAUCUUAUAUGUCUACACGUACCAACUACGUACGUAUCUAGCUUGUACGUAUAAAAAUAACCUUGCAAAUUUUAGGGUCUAUUGAAUGUAGAAUUUUCUUACCAACUUUGAGCUGUAUCAUUAUAUUCUUGGAACGAAAAAAAAAAAAAGAAAAAAGAAAAAAGAAAGAAGAUCGAAGAGCUCUUCAAUGAUGCCUCCUUAAUAAGUUUUCGAUUUUCUGUCAUCUGCCAGUUUUGUUUCCAAAAAUUAUAAAAGUGAGGUGAAGCGUAUAUCUUACACUCUUUUCAAUCGGGCGCUAUUGUUCACUACUUAUUAUGAAAUUUCUUGUGUUAUAAUUCUAUAAAUAUUUUUUUUUGAGAUUUAUUAUUAAAAUUAAAAUAUAUACAUAAAUUUCUAGAUUAAGGUAAAAUGUGCAUGUAGGAUUUGCUCCUCCCCCAACCUGCUUAUUCCCAAACCCUCUCCUUCGUUCUUCUCCUCCGCACGUGUCCUCCCAAAACCCUCUCCUUUCGCUCCUCUCCUCCACUCCAAACCCUAACCUCUGCUCAUCUCCUUCGUCGAUCUCGUUGAGGUAGAUCGAUUAGGGUUUUUGUGAUCUUUUUUCUUUUUUUUUUUUUUGCUUUCCCCCUUAACUCCUUGAUGUUUACGUUAUUCAAGAUCUUUAUGUGCUUCUCUUUGCUAUGAUCGAUCUAGAUUGGUCGAAGGAGGAUAUUUUUUCUCGAAUUUGCAUGAAUUUUGCACGUUAGGGUUUUGUUUUCUUUGCCCUUCUUGAUGUUGUGUAUUCUUUGUUUGAUCUCUUGUGAAAAGCGCAUUUUGGUGAAAUUGAUCCUUUCUAUUCAUUGUUCUGAUCAGUUAAUACAUGCUUGUAUAUCUCCUAAUUUGGAUUAUUAACUUAUAUGAUGUUAUUGCGUUUCUUCUUCGUCCUUUGGUGUUAUUCUCUAUAUCAUCUGCUCAACAUGAAACUGUAGUUUGUGAUCAAUGCUUAAUCUUAUUUGCGAUUACCUGGACUUUGAAUUGGCUUUUGCACGCAAAUUUCAGAUGUUCAUGAGUAAUACAGUGUUUGGUAUUUCCAACUGAUUAGUAAAAUUUAUAUUUGAAUGGUUCCAAACACAACUGAAAAAUAGAAUAUGGAAUUAGCUCUGUAAUUUCAUUGCCAGUAAGGUGUCUUCCACUUUCAACUUCUGUCUACUAAAUAUGUUGGAAAAUGUGAGCAUUACUAGAAUACUAUCGGUACUAAACAGCUCAGUUUACUACCGAUUUGUUUUCGAUAACAGAGCUUCUGACUCGAUGAUUGGUAUCGUUGAAUAUGGUUUAGACCAUUUAAGCUAUCUGGAAAUUAAAUUUUAUGCUUUUUCAAUAUUGUCCUCUUGUCUAUCAAGUGGACAUAAAAUGAAUGGCUGAAAAUGAAUAUCCUUCAAAAAGUAAUGAUACAAUUUUUGUAUUCAAGAUCUAGAGUUUAGAUUUUAUUUUAAAUAAUUUAAAAAAUUUUCUAACAAAAAUUCAGCUGAUUGAAACUCUUCUAUACCGUUAAAUGAGUAAAUGCAAUGUACUAGCCAUUAAAAUUACAAAUUUUGUGACCCUUUGAUCGUUCAUGUAGUGAUGUCGAAAAAGCAUCAAUUUUGCUUUCUAAUUAGUUUAAAUGGUCUAGAUCAUGCUCAACAAUACCGAUCGUCGAUUUAGAAGCUCUAUUAUUGAAAACAAAUCGGUAGUAAACUGAGCCGAUAAAUCUCGGAAAAUGUAUAUAUGAUAUACUUUUGCUUUGAUAUUAUAUUUUGCUCAUGCACUCUUUAGAAUUUUUCAACAUGUUUGUCAUUAGCUUAUCCAAUAUGCCACAGGGGUAAUCAAUCACCUUAGAAGGAAAUCCUACCCCCUCUCUUCUUGUGUAGCCAUAAAGAUUAGGUAAAAAUAUAUGGAACUUAUCUCAACUAUGGGCCAUUUGAAUUUGACUAUCCAAUUUUUUUGUAAUUUUGAUUUUACUGCCAAACCUUUUAAUUUGUUUGAUUUGAGCCAGUCAGUGGCACUUUAAUUCUAAAAUUUAAGCUAAUUAUUUAUUUUAAUUAACUUAUAGUUGUGAUAAUUCACUUAUAUAAUUGUAUAUUAUAUACUAAAUAAGUAUAUAAAAAUAAACGAUGCAUUCAUAUUUUGAAGUUAAAGUGCUGUUGACUGACUUAAAUCAAACAAAUUGAAAAGUUGGGCAGUUAAAUCAAAAUUUUGAAAUAUUGGGUAGUCAGAUCCAAAGGUUUCAUAAUUCAGAUAAGUUCCAUACGAUUUUACCUAAAAAUUGUGCAGGAAGUGUGCUUAAUAAGUUUUCUUCUUUAGCCUUCUGGAUAUAUACUCUAUAUUUUUCUUUCACUAAAACUUCUCCUGUGUACUUUGUUUACGGUUUAAUUGCGCUACUAGUCCCUGAACUUUCAGUUUUGUCUUACUUUGUUUCACUCCAGUCCCUGACAUCUUUACGCUGCUUUUUUUUCAUAUAAAACUUGAUUAGAAGUUUUUGUGCAAUUUAACCAAGAAGCAAACUUGUAGCGUCAUUAGAUAUUGAAUUCUGUAUAUUGGUGGAACACACUUAUCUUUUAGGGCCCGUUUGGUUCGAGUUAUAUAAUAUUACAAAGUAUCUCGACAUAUCCAGUUAUCUUGAAUUUUGGCGUGAGAUUACUACUGAUGCUGCACUAGCGCGAUUGGUUUAAUGCAGUAACGUAAUACUAGAUUACAGUGUUUAUAGCAUUAAUACGUUUGGUUCAGUUUAUAUAAUUUAGUAAUCCUGACAUAAAAGUAUAGUAUUUUCAAAAUUGCCUUGUUGUGGUCAUUUGAAUAUUAUUUUUUUACAAAAUAUAAUUUGCGGUAGUAAAAUAUAAUUUGCAGUAGUAAAUUAAUUUACAAAAAUAUAAUGUGCGAGAGAGAGAGAGAGAGAGAGAGAGAGAGAGAGAGAGAGAGAGAGAGAGAGAGACUGAGGCUUUUCUUAAUACUAUAUAUGGAUAGAGAGAAAGGGAUAGAGAUAGGAUAACUCGAACCCAACGGACCCUUAGCUUAUUUGGGAGAUACAUUGAGGCUUUUCUUAAUACUAUAUGUGGUAGAUGCUUUUAUUUGGACUUGCCAGUUUUUUGUUUUAAUUAGUUAUUAGUUUUCUAUUACCUUAAAUUGUGGAACUUUACCCUUUUUUUUCCUUGUUUGCUGCAGAAACGAAGAACGCGGAGCUAGGCAUUUCAAAUAGAAGAAUAUAUUUUUCUUUUUUCCCUUUUUUUUCCCCCUAAUCUUUUACUUACGAGUCUUUAAUGGGCAUGAAAGAGAUUAUUCUAACUUCUGUUAACCAUUUUAUAGUUGAAUAAUGUUAGUGUGUUGUACUAACUUGUUUUGAUGAUUAGUGCCCCAAUUGUUAUGAUGUGAAAGAUCAAGAAAUUAAUUUCUUUUGUCUUUGCUUCUUCACCUUUUGUAUUGUUAUAGUAGGGUUGUCAACAAGCUGAACAGGAGCGAGAUGGGUCGGCUCGUGUUUGCUCGUUUAUUAAACGAGUGGAACACGAAUUGGUUCGUUAAAAUAUUGAGUUAAAAAAUUUAGUUCGUAUUCGGCUUAUUAAUAAAUGAGAAUAACACAAGUUGGCUCACGAAUAGCAAAUUAGUUUGUCAGCUUCAUUAAACUUGGUAAAAAUUUGAGAGAAUUUUUUGAAAAUUACAAUUUUAAUUUGAUAAUUAAAUUUUAUAAAAUAUUGGUCUUUUUAUAUUUGAGUUGGUCUAAAAUAUAGAAAAAAAUUUGUACUAAUUAUUAUAUAUAUAUAAAUAUUAUUAUAUUAUAUUUAUGAUAUAUAAUAUGUCGCUAUGUGUUUGUAUAAGCACUAAGCUUGAGGUUGUGAUUGAUUUACCUGUUAAUCUCGUUUUGAUUAUUUCAUCCGUUAGAGAAAUAUAUAUUUCACCAAUUACAAGACCCUCAACCUAGGUUGGGUCUACUCAUUCUAAGACACAUCUCUAUCUAAUGGCGAAACAUUACUAAGCACAAUGGUUGGUAUUUUCAUAUAGAGAGUAACCGGGUAACAAUGAUCAAGGUUGAUAUACGGUUGCGUGGGGUGGUUGGUUGAUGUAUAAUCUAUGGGUGAAAAUGAUCAAAGUGAUAGAUUCUACGGUAAAAAUUCCAGACCAAGUGUUGCUUUUACAAGACUAGCGGAAUAAAUAUAUAUAUAUAUAAGCAGGGCUACUGUGCAUUAGGAGACAGACAGCACUUGUGCUUCUAACUUUUAAGCCACAUAGUUUGAUGUUGGAUAUAGAAAUGAGAGGGGAUGGAGAUUUGACGAGAUUGGGUGUUUAAUUUUUUCUUCUCUUGAAUUUCUCUUUAUAUAUAUAUAUAAGCUGUAUAACUAUCUGUAUUUCGGAGGUCGUGAUACCAAGUUGUUUUUAAUGAUGCGCGGCUUACAAAUCGGAUAUUUGACUCCGUUAGGAUUGACUCACUAUGAAAGAUAUUUGAAAUAUUUCUAAUUUCAGUUUUAUUAUCACGAUAGUCUAAACGAAUGGUAAAAAUAAAAUUUUGAUAAAUAAUGAUGAUAAACGACUUGAAUUUAAGAUCAAAAGUACUGAUUUCACUCUAAAUAGUGAAAAGAAUUUUCUAUAAAAAUUUCAUCAGAUUUUGAUUGUUUUACACCGUUAAAUUCACAAACGCAUCACAUCAACCAUUAAAAUUGUCAAUUUUAAGACCUUUCGAUCACUAGCCAAAUGAUGUCGAAAAAUUAUGAAAUUUAGUUUUCAAAUACUUUUAAUAGUAUAGAUCAAAUGUAACGGAGACGAUUUGAAGCAAGCCCUCUACUAUAUAAUAAUAAUAAUAAUAAUAUAUCCCUCUCCGCCCCUCUCUCUCUCUCUCUCUCUCUCUCUCUCUCCCCCUCUUCUCAAGUUUUGCUCACCAUGGCAUUGAGAGGCGCCAUUUUUCUCCGCCCACAACCUCACCCUCCUCCUCUCCCCUCUCCCUCUCCCUACGCCCGUCGCUUCCGCCGCUCCCUCGUCGUCGUCGUCGCUGCCGCCGCCGCGAGUCGUCGGCGGCGCCCGCAAAACGCCGAUGGCGAGUUCUUCGUCGGUGAGCGAGAUUCGGAACCUCAUCUCGUCGAUCUUACUUUCGUCUGGAAAACAAAAUUCGAAAUUUUGUGAAUCGGAGAAAGGAAAAUUGAAAGCGUUUUUGAAACUUUGUGGGCCUUUUAAUGCGUAAAAGUGGUAUUUUUAACUACCAGGACACCCCCCCUAGUCCCACGUCGACUAAGAAAGGAGCUAAUUUAAUUUGUAGCAGUUUUUGACUCAGAUGUUUAGUAUUGUUGCCAAAAAGUUCUAUAAGCCAAUUUAGUUCACGAAAGAGUAAUGUACCACUAACUUAGAAGUUAUAUAGCAGUGCUGUGAUUAAUGUAAUAUGUCUCAUUAUUUUUAUAUCAGCGAUGCAUUGAUAUUUAGUCAGCUAAAUUGGNCAUGAUUUAAACUCAAAUUUUUAAUUUUAAUGUAAAAUCUAUUGAUAGGAAUACUUUCUUUUAAGAGAUUGAUCACAACCAAUAAUUUUUAUUUGAAAUAUAUUUUAACAAAUUAAUCAUUACCAUUCGUGGGAUUUGACAUAUUGAUAUAUAAGAAUACUAUUUUUUAACAGAUUGAUCAUAAUGAGAUAUUUUUUUAACAAACUGAUUAUAACCGUUCGUAGGGAAUAUUCGUUUAUUCCUUUUUGGAUUCCGUCUGUCGUUGUCGGAAUUCCUAUACGCUUUUAUAUAUAGUAUAGACAUAUAUAUAAAAUUGAGCUGUUAUACUUUUAAAAGUAUCAAGUUAUAGUGCUUAUAGUUUUCGGCUCUUGGAUGUGCAAUUAGGAUGUUGGUCGGUCCCUAGAGUUGAGUAAGUGGUUGGUUAAAUCGUACAAUCUAAUGGGUGAAAAUAGUUAACGGGAUAGCUCUAACGGCGGAAAACUUAUAAGCAUCGUGUGCUUGGUGCUUUUAAAAGCACUAUAGCCAGACUCUCUCUUUCUAUAUAUAUAUAUAUAGAGAGAGAGAGAGAGUUCGCCUAGGGUGUUUUCGGAAGUAUAAAGUAGUUCGUGCUUCUAACUUUUUUAGUUCUUAGAUCAACCCGCUUGUCCAUUUUUAGUCCUUGAAUUAAUAUUAUUUUUCUAGGAAAACUACUAAUCUUUAGGAGGACUACUCAACCCUUGGGGGACUACUAUCAUCCCAACUUUAUAAUCCUUGAUCUAAGGGCGAAAGUCAAAAGCACUAAUUCCUAUGUUUCCGAAAGUAUAGUAACUCUACAAUAUAUAUAUAUAUAGUUGGACUGGGCUACUAUUAGUAGCAAAAUUUUAUUGUUGCUACCAGUUUUUUAGCUUUUGGAUCAACUAUUUUCAUCAUUUCUAACAAUUGGAUUAAAUACUAUAACCCAGUGGGGACCACUCAACCCUAGGGGGACUACUCAACUCUAACUGCGUAAUAUCAUCCUAACCCUACAAUUUUUCAUCCAAGGGUUAAAAACUUGAUAGCAAAAAGAGGGUUUUACUAUUAAUAGUAUUCCAGUCUAAUUCUCUCUCUCUCUUCUCCUCUCCCCCCUCUCUCACUCUGUCGUCUCGCUCCGUUCUCCGGUCUCUCUCUAUAUAUAUAUAUAUAUAUAUAUAUAUUAUAGAGUGAGGCUACUAUGCUAUCGGAAGCACGGCGCCUUCUGUGCUCCACUCAUUUUCGAUGUUUGUGACUUUCGAAUCGUCGAUCGGCUCCGUUAAAUUUGACCUAGAGUAUUGAAGUAUCUAGAAAAUAAAUUUUAUGAUUUUACGAUAUCAUUUGCCUAGUGAACGAGAGGGCUUAAAGAUCAACGGCUGAAAUAAAAUCUUAUAAAAUUGUAAUAAUAUGACAUUAAAAUUUUAAAUCAAAGAUAUUGAUCUUGUUUUUAGAUAUUUAAAGAAUUUCUAUCAAAAUUUCACGUGAUUUGGAUUAUUCUACACCGUUAACUUGCAAACGGCUCACUACCACCAUUGCAAUUUUGAUUUUGAGCCCUACGAUCACUAGGCAAAUGAUAUCGAAAAAUAUAAAAUUAUUUUCUAGGUGCUUCAAAUACUCUAGAUCAAGUUUAACGGAGCCGAUCGACGAUUCGAAAGUCGCAACAUCGAAAACGACUGGAAGCACGGAAGGCUCCGUGCUUCCGAUAGCAUAGAGCCUCACUCUAUAUAUAUAUAUAUAUAUAUAUAAUAUUAAUAUAUAUAUAUAUAAAGAGAGAGGAGAGAGAGAGAGAAGAGAGAGAUGCGCCCGGCGCGCGUAUCUGGCUGGUAUACUAUCGGUAGCACGGAGGUCUCCGUGCUACCAAGUUGUUUUCAAUGAUGCGGCUUCCAAAUUAACGAUCAGCUCCGUAGAUCUACACUAUUAAAAAUAUUUGGAAACUAAAUUUUAUAAUUUUUCGACAUCAUUUGGCUAAUGAUCAAAAGAUUUCAAAAUUGACAAUUUUAAUGGUAGAUGUGAUGCAUUUGUGAAUUUAACGGUAUAAAAUAAUUCAAAUCUGAUGAAAUUUUUAUAGAAAUUUUUUUUUAUUAUUUAGAGUAAGAUCAAUAUCUCUGAUCUUAAAUUUAAGUUUUUUAUCAUUAUUUUUAGUUUGCAAAUAUUUUCAAUAGUGUAGAUUAAGUCUAACGGAACCAAUCGUCGAUUUGAAAACUUCAUCAUUGAAAAUAAUUUGGUAGUACGGAGGCUUCCGUGUUACCGAUAGUAUACCAGCCUAGCUCUUGUAUCGCAUCUACCAUUAAUUUUCUCUCUCUCUCUAGAUAUAUAUAGAGAGAAAGUCCAACUGUGGUACUUCCAGUAGAAUAAAGAAGUUGAUACUUCCAAUUUUUUUAACCCUUAGAUUAAUCCCAUUUCUAGCUAAGCUUAUUUUUAACUAAGUUUAUUUCCAAAUGAAAUAAACGAAGCGGGUAGCAUGCUACCUAUCUCUAAAAAAAAAAAAAAAAAAAACCCUUAGAAUAAUCCUUUUCAUCGUUUCUAUUCAUUGAAUUAAUAUCAUUCCGUUAGAAGAACCACCAAACCCUAAGGUAUCGUUUGGUUUGGAAAUAAGGAAAAGGUGGCUAUGAUUAUAUAUCCGCAUUUUACUUUCUCAUUAAUAAUUCAAUAUGAAACAAUCUACAUAUUAAGUAAUAUAAUUUGUUACUUUAACAAAAAGAAACAGUACUCAACAGGCCAACUAAUAAAAAGUGAAAAUGAUCCGGUUCAUCGAUACGAUAAAUAUCAAAAAAGAGUCGAGAAAAAGAAAAAAAAUAAAGCAUGCAAAUGCUAACGUGGUUUAGCCAUUUGCCUAAGUCCGUACGAUCCAAAAUUAAAUUAGAAUUUUCUAGAGAGAUGCCAUGAAUUGUAAUUAUUUUAACUCUAUUAGAAAUAGAUUACAAUUUAAAGUUGGUCUAAACAAAAUGGGUCGGCUUGAUUUAGUGCACAUGUUUAGAGCCGGGUCGGACUGAAUCUUCUAAGCCUCCGGCCCAGCACGGCCCUCCUACCCGAAGGCAUGGGCCGUGCCCGGGACUUGCCCCUUAAUAUUUUUUUGUUAUUUUUAAUUUUUUUAAAAAUAUUAUAAAAUUUAAAGAUAUGAAAAAUUAAGAGUCCGGCCGGAAUGAUUUUAAUAGCAGCAAGUGCUUGAUGCUACUAAAUUUUUCACCGUUAGAUUUAUUUCUUUGACCAUUUCUAUUCAUUAAAUCAUACGAUUAAACUAACCAGACACUCGAUCUCAGGAGAUCGCUACCAUCUUAACUGUACAUUUCUUUAUCCAAGAACCGAAACUUAAUAGCAUCAAUUACUUUGUGCUAUUAAAAGCAUUCCAGCCUAAUUCGAAAGAUUAAAAUAUUUAUAUUUUAAACUGAUAUUUUGAUCAGAAAACUUAAAAUUUAUUAAAAAAAUAUUAUAAGAUAACAAAUAGUAUAAUUUUUUUAAAAAUAAAAAUUUUUAUUUUUGUCACGCCCCGGAUGUCUCGUUCCCCGGGCACGCCGACAAAUCCGCCGUAUACAAAAAAAAUUUUCUGUAUACGAAGCGUCAACAGUACCUAUAGAUAUGCAAUACUACAAACAGUAGCAUAGAGCUGCUAAAUAAACAAAAGCUAAACCAACUGAGCUUCAUGUACAUAGUUCAGAAACCAAAAUACAACGUUACUCGCACUGGCGAGUUAAGUACUAUGUACAUAAGCUCGAAGUAAAACAACUACCUGCUGUGGGGUGCCUCUAGCUCUGUCAGUCGGGUAGGGCUCUAGCUCGCGACGCCCUUGCCUCGAUCCUGAUCCGCGGAAGGCGCAGCAGCCAAAACCUGUGGCUCUGCAAAAACAUAGGUAACAACUGGGCGUGAGAACUACUGUUAAAACAAGUAGUCAUCAGUGGGUACCGCCCAAAACAACAUCGGUCCACCCACUAAGUCUACAGAAGGGAGUAAGAGUAGUCAGAAAAGCAGGAAAUAAACUCUACCGCUAUCGAUCACUACACUAUCAUGCUCUACACUAACCAACUGUAGGAAAUGUCAAAUCUGACCCAAUCCAAUCGGGACUGUAAGCAUACCCGUCCCCGGGACUGUGAAUACACCCGUCCCUGCCCCGUUGCGACUAUCGGGCUCUAUCCACACUAACUGGUCCGUGGAGAGCAAGUCCAACUGGCAUGAGCGACACCAACGCGAAAGCACAAAGCCUGACUCCGGAGUGGCACUCGUGGGCGCUACCCAACCGAGUAUGCAGCGUAUCUCUGUCGAGCUCAAUCAGGCUCCAACUAGCCAAAGUCAAGUGAACAGGGUCAAAACAGGUCUACAAACCAAACCCACGUGCCCUCGGCACAAUCUGUGACCAAAACAAGAAUCUGGGUCCACCGCUAACCCGAACGGCACCCAACGACCCGAAACAGCCUAAACUCUGCUGAAAAAUAAGCUCGGCAUCCCAGCACGAGCGUAAAUGCCUUCUAAACUACCCCAGGUAUCCAUCGCAACGAUACUGCAACGAUACAAUCGAAUCACGGCUCCUAGAGCUAAAUCUGGUAGUUUAAGCAUAUGACGAUUCCAAUCGUGUUUUCUCCUAAGUCAAAUCCCAGUCCAACAUGUACAUUUAAGAUUUACUAGUCAUGUUCUCAAUACUGAUUAUAUCCAGGAUAGCAUCACGAAUAUCAAGCUACAACAUGAUUACCGAAACUAAAAAUCAUACAUGUCGACAAUUACGGUACUUAGGAAUAAACCGAUGUAAACCCACCUCGAAAGCUAUCCCCUGGCAGCGGUACACUCUCACAGCUGUGGCGCCACCUGCUGGGUCGAUCGUAGCCCUUCGAACCCAAGGAUCGCGCUAACUCCAAGCUCUACACCAAACAAUUCACCGUUUCAGUCUAGUUUUCGCAGCAGUGGAGUACAACAAGAAUUCGACCAAGCUAACCUUCACCAAAAUUCACAAGUAAGGGCUUCGUAGAUUUCUCUCGAAGUUCCGAAUCCAACGAACCAAGUCUCGUCGCAAUCCGAUACUCCUACGUCGAGAACGAGCUGAAAUACUAACAGUCGACGGUGGAUUUCAGCAAACAAUAAUUUACCGAGUUGAAGUAGUAAAAACUUGCCCAAAAUCCAGGAAAAUGCUGAAUUACUCACCUCGACAACACCGGGCACCGCUGCGACAGAAAAACGGCGAAAACUUCUGCUCGCCCGGCCUUCUCGCGCUACCGGGCGUCAAACACGAGCUCGAACGACUCCGCGGCGCGAUGUCGACGAUGAAAUCCGAACUCCACCCGAGCUCCACCGUGCACAAGAACCCAGCUAGAGAGAGAGAGGAGAAUAAGAAAAGCUUCCUCUCUCUGCUCUACACCACACUAUAAA
Molecule: long non-coding RNA, 55994 nt
Filed under: Ananas comosus (pineapple)
Lineage: Eukaryota; Viridiplantae; Streptophyta; Magnoliopsida; Poales; Bromeliaceae
Description: long non-coding RNA (ACOM_LNC010717)
Source: RNAcentral